UACACCAUUGCAGCAGCAGCUGGCCCCGACAUCUAGUCGGGAGCGAGAGAAAGAAAUCACACGCUCUAGAAGCUGUGUUUCUGCUACCCCGCGGGUGUGAUUGGAAGAUGGGACGCUUCUUGCUCCUCUGCGCGUUCCUCCUUGUCCUGCUCAGCGUGGCGAGCCUCAUGGAGGUCACGGAAGGGAGGGGCCGAGGCGGAUCACGCGGCGGAGGAAGCAGCAGCCCGCGUGGCCUCAGCGGUGGCACCUGGAUGGCGUGCGUUGGCUCCUCGCUGCUGGCCGCCGCGGCCAUGCUGUUGUAGGCGCGCUGCGUGACUCAGCUAUGCGGUGAUGUACGUCUGCCCUGGAGAUCUUUGUACGUGCUUUGAUAAUUCGUGUGUUGUGACUUGUGUGUGCUUCAGAUAUAUCUGAAUGGUGUCGUUGUAACUGGCAGCAACAACAGUGGGUCGAGCGUGAGAUUCCUAAACUUAACCACGGCUUCUGUAAAUUAAUGCAUUUCUCGUAUCAUCUUUGUUUUCUUUCAUCCCUAACACAAAGAUGGCUGGGAUUAUCUAUACCCCUUCGUUAGAAAAGGCACGAUAGUUUUAUUUUAAAAAGUCGCCUGCCCGCCCGUCCGCUCCGGUGCCCGGCGUAUGUGUACGGAUUCAUACGACCACGACGUGUUUUAUUUUCACAUCACCUAUCAAACGUUUUUUUCAACGACGAGGUGUCUGCGAUGACUUGGUAAAUCUUAAGAUGAUAUACCGGUUCGAUCUUUCGAAGAUGUUCAUAGGGGUAAGGUGUACGGAAUUUUUGUUAAAAAACCACUAGCCGAGUGCUAUUGUCAAAAAAAACCACAUGUGGUAUGGAAUGCCAGAGAAGACCCCCCUUAUUUUAUGGCGGCAGGCGCGCCAGGUGACGCGUGGCACCUGCCGCCACGAGUCGAGGCGGCUGGGCCCUGCCGCCACCACGCGAUGCGGCCGCUAGCGUCUGCCUGCACCCGAGCUGCAGGAACAAGAGACCACCGUCGAUGCUGUACCGAGCAUGCAGCUCGCACAUGCUGCAUGCACAGACACUGAAUGAGGCCGGAUGGACGCUGGACACGAUGGGGGACCAGCAUGCCGAGAACGACCGUUGUGCAGCCUGCCGCCUGGAGUGUUGGCGGAGGUUCCACCUGCGCGGCCAGCCGCGCGCCUCGCGUCGUGGCGGCAGUGCCCAGCUGCCUCGACCUGUGGCGGCAGGUGCCACGCGUCACCUGGCGCGCCUGUCGCCAUAAGAUGUGGGGGUCUUUUCUGACAAUCCAUACCACAUGUGGUCCUUUUGACAAUAGCACUCGGCUAGUGGAUUUUUUAGACAAAAAUUCAGGUGUACGUGUGUGCAUUCAUAGGGUGAAUGUAUGUGCAUGUAUAUAAACGCUUGCAUAUGUAAUGCGUUCAAAAAAGCCAUCAAACGUUUUUUAUUAAAUUUCGCAGAGAGGUGCUACGUCGAUCGCUGCAAUAAACCUACAUGUGAUGCGAUGAUUCUAGCCUCGUAAAUUCCGUUGAAUCACCAUUAAUAAGCCAAGGACCUCCCAUGGGUGGCAGAGAACUAACUAACCCGACGAGGAAUUGUUCUCUGUGAAAAUCGUUCGUAGGACCGUAGACUGUUGUUAUCUAGUAAGUCUAAGAAGAUCUAAUCAUUUUGACCUGUGCAGCGUUGGAGAAGAUUCCAAUGCUAUGCAAAGAAACGGAGACUACGGAAUCGUCGAAGAAGAUGGUUGUGUCGUCCCUAGUGCCGAUCGUGGGAAGAACCACACAUUGCUGCAGUAGCGGGCCUCCUACUUCCUUAACUAGAUGUCGAUCCCAAGUUUCAAUUUCUGUUUCUUGGAAGCACAGGAUAGCCACCUUUGGCGCGCAGGUAGCCUUGCAGAUCGCUGAAUGCUUUGCCGCCGAGUUUAGGCCUCGCACAUUCCACCUAAUGGUGGCAUUGGUACAGAAAAACCUAGGUAUUGUAUGAUAAAAAUGGCCUUGUUGUCUAGACACCCGACGCGAGAGUUAAAAAAUAAUGAUGGUGUUGGGUCUCAUGCGAAUAGUAUAUUUCAUCUUUAUGACAUAUCCAUUUGUCCGAAGUCAGCAAAAAAAAAUUAAUAAAAAAAUUACUACUUCAAAAAGUUAAGAGAUUAAACUUCACAAAAUGUACUCAUAAUUUAAACAUACUCAUAAAUUCAUAGUUUAAAACUUAAUAUUAUUCAUUUAAACAUGCAUACUCAUAAACAUACAGUUUAAAAUUUAAUUAGUACUAAUCAACUAACUACUCUUCGUCAUCAAGGAUUAUCUGAAUCUGGCGCAUCUUCUUCCGAUUGCUCUCUCCAUCUUGCUUGAAAUGAACAACGGUUGUCUGUAGAUCAAUCCUCUCCGUCAUGAGUUGUUUUUUCUUCAGCUUUAAUUUAUCCCUCUCUUCCAUUAACUGAUCUGUCAACUCCCUUAGUUUGUUUGACUUAGCGAGGACAUUAGCACCCUCUGUGAGAAGACUAUAAGACUAUCAAUUUCUUUCUCCACUGCGGCAUUGUCUUAUUCGAGAUUUUUGAUGCUCCACUCUGACGACUCUAAGAGCCACUGACUCCACUGCUCCACGUCGUCCACCGAUUCUUUGUUGCUUGAUGGGUUGUCCAUGUGUGUUGUUUCAAAUCAUUAUGAACCAUGGCGAAUUAGUUUCUAGCAAUCUAGUAGUAGUGAUGGACUAAACAGCUAGUAGUACAACAGUUUAUGUCUAUCAUGGCAAAUUCAUCUAGUUUUUCCUAUCAUGGCAAAUUAGUUUCUCGCAAUCUAGCAUUCUAGUUUUUCUAUCAUGGUGAAUUAGUUUCUAGCAAUUUAGCAUUCUAGUUUUCUCUAUCAUGGUGAAUUAGUUUCUAGCAAUCUAGCAUUCUAGCAUAAAAAAGAAACAGAGAUAGCAACAUAUAUACCAGUCCCAAGGAGAUGAGGUCUAUGGGCGACGUCGGGCAUCAGGGCGGGCGGGCAGUGGCGGGCGGGGCGGCAACGGUGUUGGGCGUCAGGCGGGGCGACGACGGGCGGCGUCGGGCGUCGGGCGGGGCGACGGCGGGGAUCGAGAGGAGAGAGGACUAGUGGAGUUGAGGGUGGAGAGAGUGAGGACGGAUAAAGUUUUUUACUGCACCGAGAGCCGACAGUGCUGGCGUGGGCCUAGUGUGUCUGAAUGCGCAACACCGGAGCUAAUGUGCAACGCCAGCACUAAGCUAAUAGCUAUGGCAUACGAAUUUGGCCCACGCCAGCACUAUUUCAAAAUAUUAGUGUCGGCGUUGGCCAGAAAAGACGCCCCACCAACGUAAGUUGUGGCUUGCCAUUUCUCCACUAGUGUGGGAGGGGUGUCAUCCAUGGGGAAACAAGGCAAUUCUCUGGAAGCUAAUUGAACUACUAAAGUGAGGGCAAUGAGGGAGUUCGGAACUAAGGGGUCCUCGAACCGCUGAUCUAUUUUCAUGGGCCAGACUUAUGGGCCGUCUUGUGAUUAUCAUUGAAGGCCAAAUUACGAGACAAUGCCAUAUCCAAAAUGGAUUUUUCUGAUGCCUUGGUGUACGCCCAAGUUAAGAUGAUAAUCGGCAUAUUUUCUCCUUGAUGUAACCGACAUUGUGUAACCCUAGUACCCCUGGUAUCCAUAUAAACUAGAGGUCAUUAGCUCAUAGGGCACGUUAAGAUCAUUAUUACUAAGUUUUAGACCACAACAUACGAUCUCGAGGUAGAUCAACUAUGUAUUCGAUACUACAUCAUCAAUAUAAACAAGAGCAUGACAUAGGGUUUUACCUCUAUCAGGAAGGUCCGAACCUGGAUAAACAUCGUCUCCUUUGUCUCUUGUUACCCAUCGAUCCAAGAUCCACAGUUUGGACCCCCUACCCGAGAUUCAUCGGUUUUGACACCGACAGACACACCAUCCUUACAACCAGUGGUGAAGCCACGUUUUAGCUGUGUAGUCAUAUGACUACACAGGAAUUUGAUAAAUCAAGUCACCAUGGAUAUGUAUAUUACACUGUGGAACAAACUACUUCAAGAAAUUGACUACACAAGCUAACGUGACAUCACAAACUUAGGAUCCUGGCACCGCCUCUGCUUACAACCUGCAUACCAAUCUAUUUAACAAGCUAACUUUGUUCAAGGGGUGGCAUUGUUGUGUGUUCAGGGGGAUGGCAUUUUGUGUGUCCAUGGGGUUGCAAUUUUUAUCUAUUUAUUCUUUGACAAAUUCGUGGAAAUACAUUUGAAUGUGAAUCUGUCAGGUUAUACAAGCUUUUUUGUUUGCACUUUUUUCCAUAUCAAAACUAGUUGCCAUGCUUUCUCUAAUCUUGCCAUGACAUUUUUCAUAGCUAGCUAAUAAGUAGAAAAAACACAUGGCAACUAUGAACAAUGUUUGCCUAGAUAUCUGGUUUCACCAAUCACAGGUAGGACAAUCUGUGAAUCUGUCAUGUCAUGCAUUCUAGGAAAAUAGUUGCAUGGAAUUUUCUAGAGGAAUUAGCUAAUUGAGGAUAUGUAAUCUGCCAUGGCAUUUUUAUUAAGUGGAACAUGUCAUUUUUAUUAAUACACAUAAAAAUAUUAUGUACCCAGGCAAAAGAGUGUACGCGAUUGAAACAUAUAACAUUCAUAUGUGAAAGAAGAAUUAUUAGAGAAAAUAUUAUGCAUUUAAACCAAUAAAUACGAUCGGAUGAACAUUUGUUUUUAUUAGAAAGGUAGUGGCUACACCUAAGUUCGGUGCACCUCAUGAUGAUCACUAAAAUCAAAUUACAUGGGAAGACAAAGAGCACGAGGGCCUGCACCUCUUUAAAUCAUAAAUCAGUACUACCGGUUAUACAUUACAAAAGGCAUUUGAAUCACUAGAAAAGUCAACAAAACCUAUCAGAAUCUCUGCAUUGGGCAGUUGGGCUGCAGCUAGCUUGUACUACGUCAAAACUAACGCGGCCUGUGAUCUGCCUCCACCGCACCUUCUCUUGAAGCUCUGAUCCUCAUAAUCUGUGCUCGUCCUCUUCCUGCCGGGGUAGCCAUACGGCCCGCCGUCAUUCCGCGUAGGUGGUGGCACUGUCAUGUUGCCUCCCAUGGCGUUGACAUGGUGCGACCCCAUCGGAUAACCGCCACCGUAAGCGUAGGGCAUGCCGGCGUGGCCGUAGUACAUGGAAGGAUCAGCCGACCACGGCAUCCCACCAAAAAAAGGAUCGUAGCACGCCGGGGCGAAGGGAACGCUGAAGCCGUGUUGAUGAUCGACAUGGCUGGCCGCUGUGUCCGUUGUCUCCUGCUUCUUCCUUGGCUCGUGCGCCGCUGGAGCCGACGUCGAUUUGCUUGCGUACUCGCUGUGCUCCGACUCCAAGGUGGCGCCCUUCUUGGAAGACGCGUGGCUGCUCAUGCUGCUGCUCCCCUGCGAUGCUGCCGGACUUUGAGUCUGAUGCGUGGACGCCGCGACCUCGUUGCUUGAGACGGAGCUCCUCUGCUUCUCUGCUCCACCUGAAGAGCUGCUGGCCCUGGCGGCGAGAAUGUUGGAGAUGGUGGUGCGCACCGUGAGGUUGGGGACCAGAUCGUCCGCGCUCGCCUUGGCCCCGCAAGCGCACUUGGAGUUGGCGACGAUGUGCGCUCUGAUGCACCGGCCGCAGAAGCUGCCGAAGCAGCACUUGCUCGCCACCACCGCGUCGGCCAUCACCUCCUUGCAAAUCUUGCAGUGGAGAUCCGCCGGGAAGCCGUCGUCGUUGCUCUCGUCGACCGGCCGAGGGGCAACCACGGGAGUCCCUCCAAAGUCGAAUCUCGAGUCGCCGUUUGUGGGGCAGUGUUGGAUGAAGUGGCCCGGGACGCGGCACCUGUGGCACACGUACCCGGCCGGCGGCGCCCGCCCGUUGUGCGCUGCUCCACGGUGAUCAUAGGAGCCCUCCCACUUUGGUUCCGCGCCGUCGAUCACCGCGCUGAUAGCCUUAGCCUCGUCCUCCUCUGUUCCGGCCGACCUCAUGGCCGAGUACGAGGAUGGAUCACCGCCGACUUGCCUCGAUCUCGGGCAUAGAGGGGGUUCGUCGUAUGGCCUAGCCACGAUGGUAUCGGCCGGAGGCCCAGCCACUCGGCGCGCCACCACCACCGUCGAGUUACGCAGGACCAAUGCGUUGUCGUCCGCGUACUCCUCAAGGGUCUGCCCGUUGGAGAUCGUUAUGGUCUCCCUGGGACCCCGGCCGCGUGUCCGGCCAUGACCAGAGCGGCCUGUCUCCAUGAUAAGGCGCCUCAGGUCGCCGACGGAGAUGGAAGGCGCGGCAAGGGGCAGGGAGAACGUGCCACGGGCGCUGCUGUACUUGUAGUGCACUGCCAUCCUUUCCUCGAAGUUGAGCACGAAGGUCGAGAUGGACGCCCUCGUGAGUCGCUCGCCGGAGAUGAGCCUAGCUAGGAUGGUUGUGCUGGGGAGGCUCACGUCAACAGGGAUGAUCUGAUGGCCUUAUAUGGUACUCCAUUUGGCCUUGGGCAAUCCAGAACCGACAAGGUUUCGGGCCUCUUGUGAAUCGCCGCCUAUGGGUAACGUGUCCGAGUUCUAAUCGAAAUAAUACUACGUACAGUACGUGUUUUCGCUUUCUUGUUCUUGCUUAACUCGGACCGGCGACCAACCCCGCGGGCGUGUAUGCUGUUUGCUUCAACCCGAGUCGUCAUCGGAUUCUUUUCGGAUUCACUAAUUCUCAUCUAAAUAAGAAUUUGCGAACCACGUGGCUCGAUGAUGGUUAGAUGAACUGCGGUAUCUUUAACCCGAGUCGUCACUGAAUUGUUUUCAGUUUCACUACUAAUUCACAUCUACUAGAUGAGAAUUAAGUACAGAAUUAUUGAUUCUCGGUCGAGGAUGGCUCAUGGCGAUCGCGCUGUGUUUUGACUUCUGACCGAUGACGCCUUAGCCCGAUUCCCGACCGUGCCACGGCUCCGAACAAGAUGGGGCACUCACCGCCGGCGAUUAAUGGAGUAAGUUGGAAGAUUUUCCACGUGCCUGUAUAUAUUCAUGCUUCAUCGCUUGAGGCUCUUCUGUUCCCCAGAUGAUCCUCCAACAGCUAUGGUUUUUGGCUAUGGUUUUCCUCUAUGUUCAUUUUUCUUUUCCAUCUGAUCCCCUCUAUGGUUUUUGGCUAUGGUUCCCCUCUAUGUUCAUUUUUCUAUUCCAACAGCUAUGAAGUCUUUCCAAUCUCAGAUUUGACAGGUGUUGUUCAUCCUGAACUCCCGGUUCUCAGUCUGAUUAUACUCUGUUUUGGGUAACAUUCACUUGACAAUCUUCAGACUUCAGUGGAUGCCGGCCACGUAAAUUGGUUUCAUGGGUUGUGUCAUCUCUUCAUGUUUUCAGAUUAUACUUUUGAUCUUCAAAAGCAUUGGCUCCUUUGGAGUCUGAUUAUAUUUUGGUUUGUGAAAAAAAAUCACUCGAUGAUCUGCAAUGGCUGUCGGCGAGGUAAAUAUGUUCUGUGGGCUUCCAUACCUCAUCUCUUCAUGUUCUCAGAUUAUGAUUCUGAUCUAAUGAUACAUAUUAAAAUCAGUAAGCUGAGUUCACUAGCGUGCUAGAUUUCAAAUAGCAAUGCUUUACACGAAAACUUUUGAUGUACUUUCGUUAUGCUAGCUGGGAAAUGCUAUAGAGCUGAAUAUGACAUUGAGUUUAUUUUUCCCUUUCUUUGUGUCCUUGAAUAUGUGUGCACAGCCAACUCAAGAAAACAGUGUCGUGUGUAUUGUUUAUGUGAUUCCAGAUACUAAGUAAUCAAUCAUGGUCUUGAUUUAUCUGUACACCAUGGUUCUCAGGACAUAUUGGACACAAGCCUGAAGCCUUUAUGCUCUGACAAAAAAUGUGUUCUGUUACUUUUCCAUUUUAUUCUUUCGACUAUCCAAUGGUUGUGUCCUAAUUGCAUUACCUGUUUGUUGACAUUCCAGGUCAACACACCUCUGUUUAUCGAACCACUAGGACCAUCUUCUACUUUUCAAUUAUCUGUAUUCUUAAUGAUUUCUAUUAUCUACAAGCCUACAAUGUUGAUCCCCUUACAAUGUAGAGAAGCUAUACAGGCUGGUGCUAUGUAAUUUGAGGUACUUGUUUUUUUCGAAACGGAGGCACAAGUUUGCCUCAUCUAUUAAAUAAGAGGAGAAUAAAGUUAAGAGUUUUACAACACAUUCACAAGUUCGGCAUGACAAUUACUCGUCCAAAAAAAUAUUCCCUAAUUUCUUCUCUCCCGCGGUUACCCACGGUUUGGCCUCCUCUAUAAUGGAGGAAAGCAAGGUAGUCGGUGACGAACUCUUGUGGCGGAACACCCGUGCAUUUCCUUCAUUCCAAAUGGUCCAUGAGACAAGCAUGGUGAGGGAGGCCAUAGCUUGCCGAUUGGGGUUGCAAUUGUCGGUUCUCGUAUCCCACCACUCAUAGACGGACUCGUCCAAGAGCCAUACGGAUGUGUCCAUGUGCGCGAGCCCCACCUUUUCAAUGAUAGACUUCUAUAGCCGGAUCAUGUAUCGACACUUGAAGAAUAGGUGGGUCUCGUCUUGUAAUGCCCCAAGUGUAGGUCUUUCCCUUUUUGUAACCUUCCAUGUGGGGCACCUUGUCAGAGAUCUUGAUGAUAUCAUUUUGUGCCUUGAAUUCAUGUGUGUUCCCUAGUGCUUACUUCCCUUGCAUGCUCGCAUAGCAUAUCAUGCCUUGCCAUAGCUUAUGAUUGCAUGCCAUGAUCAUGUUGCAUUUGAAGUUACUAGGAGUAGUGUGUGGUGUUGAGAGUGCAUGUGAUCUUGCUAGGGUUAAGUGGUGGUUGUGCACUACCUUGUGAUGCAUGUGAUAAUGGUGUGUGUGAUGUAGUAGAGGGUGUGCUAGUCUUUUUAAGCUCUUGCCUUUUAAACUCCUUUUCCCUCCUAUUUUUAUUCUUGUCAAAAUUCCUUCUUCCCAAAGAUGAUUCUAAAAUGUCUAGUGGUUAGAUAAAAUGUGCUUAUGAGGGGGUGUAAUUUUUCUGAUUUUGAUUCUUUGAUUUUAGUGGUGCAAAUAAACUCAAAACAGUAGGUUAAUUACUGUUUUGCAUUUAUUUCAAACAUCACCAAAUAUUGCUUUCCUAUUUUUCCCUAUUGGGUCAGUGUCUCUUAUGUCUAGCAGGAUUUUUCCUUUUAUUUUUUUAAAAACCCAGUAGUCAUUUUGGGUAAUAUAAUUUCUUUUCCCUUUCCUGGGUGCAAUUGUUUUUCAAUCAAUCUUGUUGGUUAAGCCUCCUGUGUGUUGUUUCCUUCCCUGGCCCAUUAUGACUUCUCCCGUGCGGCCCAGUAGGACUCCCCCCCUGGCGACAGAGCCCACUCGCGAGCGUUUCCUUCUUCCUCCCGACGUCACUCCUGUACGACGUGCGCUCCACCUCUGGAUCAUUCUCUCCUUGAUUCAGUGGCUCGAGCUCGCCUCCCGAGAUGUUAAAAGGAGCCCGGGACCCUCCUCCUCCGCCUUAGGGUUCCCUCUCCGUUCCCCCCCCCCCAGCGCCGCCAGUUUCCCUCCUGCCCUCGUUCUUCCCUGGUAAGUUUCUGAGAGGAAGCAGAGAGAGAGAGGGUGCAGCGCCUCCUCCGUCAACCCGCCGAUCCGUCGUCUCCGGCACCGGCCGCCAUGUCCGGGGGCUCNCGUCCUCGUCAACGGGGCGAACCGGGCGAACUUCUUUCCUGCUUCGGUCUACGUCGGAGGAGCUUCUUCGGCGUCUUCUUCCCCGGUCCGGCGCUCCUCCUCCCCGUUCGGCGCCCCAUCUUCUCCCAAGGUGAGGCCGCGCGUCCCCCUUCCUUCCUCCUCCGCGGAGCGGCUCGGACCUCCGUCGUGUGCGUGCGUUCUCUGUUCGUGGCAGCAGCGAGUUAAAUGAUGCGGUCGUAGCGGCUGUUCUGCAAGUAACGCGUUCUUGGGGGUGCCGCGCAGAGGAGGGCUUCCUCCCCCCUCGCAGCAGCAGCGUCGUGGUUAUGGGAACCACCUCGUCGCCGGUUAUGUGGCUUCCUGUCGCCUCGGUCGCGGUAGACGCAGAGCGACAGUGUAGUGUUGGUGCGGUUCCUCCGUCAGUCUAGGGCGCCAUGCGGGCGUGCUCUAGCAGCAGCGGCGGUUCCUUCCCGAGUAGGUGGUUGUUCGUCGUGUGCAAGAGCUCAUCGCCGGAAGCGCAGCUAGCAACGUCGGCUAGGAUAGCCGUCAAGUUCCCUGUCUCCGUCGUUCCCAGAAGACAGGCAGAGGGCGAUUUCAGGUAUCUAUUCCUGUAUGAGAAUCCCCCUCUGUCAGAUACCCCUCCGUAGCCCGAUGGUAGUGUUGUGCUGGCAUAAACUUGCGCCUGUAGGAGGGCGUGGGUUCGAGUCCCCCCCUCGGCGCCUUUUUGUUUGUUUUCCUCGAUUACUUCGGGUCAGUGGCAGUGCAGACAGCUUACCUUGCAUAUCUCCCUUCUCCUGUCAACAAGUAGCGCCGUAGCGUGGGUGUGUGGUGCUGGACACUAGGGGUCUGGGUUCGAAUCCCAGCAGCCCUGUUUCUUUUCGGUUUUUUUUGCAUUCUUUUCUUUUUCCUGCCUACUUAUUUCCUGUUUUCCUAACUCCUACACUUGUGUCUUAUCAGUUUUGUUCCCUGUUGUUUUUUAUUUUUAAAAAAACUCCUACGUAGUGGUGAUUGCUCCUGUUCCUGCUAGAAUGGUGGAAUAGAUAUAGUUGUGAGUAUGUUUUGCACACUAGGGGUGAUAAAUAUUAUUGCUAGCUUGUGAUGUUUAUAGUGGUUGUACCUUAGUGAAGAGGAGCCAACCUUGUUAAGGGCAUGAUGCUAGAUGCCUUGACAAAUAUGGGUGUAGUGUUUGGAGGUGAUCAGUUGCCCUAGCUAAUCUUGCAAAGCCCUAGCUUGUGAACUUUGGUGUGGGCUAAGUUGAACUUGUAGCUUUAUUGUUUUGCAUGGAGUUACUUUGAUGUGGGUGCCUCCCCCUCAUCACAUGUUUUGGUGUGAUGUGAAGAUCUAGGUGACUAUCCACGCUAGCGUGUGAAGGUGUGGAUUGUUGUGGUGGUCGCAUAUUGAGGAUGACAUGAAUACUAGGAAGAUCCUAGUGGUGCUUGUGAGAGUGUGCACCAUCACAUGCCCAUAUGUGGGGGGUGUGCAUACUCUCUUGUUAAUUUAAAGUUUUCUUUUGUGUGAGCUUGAUGCUAGUGCUUGUGAGGAGUUGUGUGUGUUGGAGUUGUUGAUAUGCAUGACACAAACAUGGGGUUCAAACCCCCAUGUCACUUUGUCAUUGUGCACAUGAAACUCUCCUAGGUAAUUGUCAUCUUAAAAGCAUACCUUAUGGAUUUGCAUUUUCAUUUUGUUGAAAGUUUGGGCUUUGCUUCCAUGAUAUAGAUGGAGCCCAAAGGCAUGGAUUUCUGUGUGUAGUAGUAGGGGUUUGUGCUCAACACCAUAGUGGUGACAAACACCUCUUGGGAACUUGUGUGUGCAAACUAUGCCUAGACAAAGUGGGCAUGUGGCUGGAAAAUUCCAGAUUUUUGAACUCUGAAAAUUUCACUAAGUCUGGAAUGCUGAAAACAUUUUCUUCCUCUGUAGAUAAGGUUGUGCUGGUCAUUAUGUUGAGAACUGGACUUAUUUCAGUGCUAGUGUUUUGAACCUGGGAUGCUUGUGAAGCUUCCUGUCAAUUUUCAAGUCAUUUGGAGCCCAGUAGCUUGUGUUUUGAUUGCUGUCAAAAAGCUUCAGAACAGAAACAGAAACUCAGGUGCAGGAAUUUUCACUAAGUCCCUGAGAACUGAUGGUUUUGGGAAAGUUUGUGGCCUUGUAUCUUCUAGAGUUUAAUUCCUUUUGCUGUGAUUCUUGAUGGAGAUUGUAGUGUCCUUGGUUGGCAACAGCCACAUAUAUUAUUUGUCACAUUUGAAGACCUGUAGCUAUGUUGCAUGUUGCUCACAAACAGCUAAGAUGCAGAAACUGGCAGAUUGCGUAGUUUUGACAUUUUGUUCGAAGUUUGUGUUCAAUUGUUGUUGGGGUGUUAUACCUUGCUCCAUUUCAUUCAUGUUGGGUUAAUAUAUGUCUUGGCAACCUGGGAACACCAUAUUUUGUGCCAAUUGUGUGAGUGGUGAUGAAUCUUUCACGUAGGGCUUCAUAUCGUGUUUCGUUGAUUCCCGUUGAUCCGUAGCUCCGUUUGCAAAGUUCCUUAUAUGGUUUUGCACCGUUUUCACGAGAUGCAUCCGUUCAUAUCAUUCCCAUGCAUGUACAAAUAGUUUAGUACAAAGUUCUGUCCAGGAACUUGUUGUAGUUUAUCCUGCUUGUGCUAGUGUUAGAAAUAGUGGUGCAUGCUCAACUUUCAUCUCAUGCAUCAUGUGAUUGUUGCAUUUUGUGGUGCUUCUGUUCAUUGGCUGUUAUUUUGUGUUGGGUAGCACCGGGAGCGGAGACCGAUUACGUGGAGUCAGGAGAGUACGUGCAGGACGAUCCAGAACCAUUCCAAGCUGAGGAUAUCAUAGGCAAGAUGACAUGACCUUGAUCCCAUAUCUAGACUUGUUAUGCUAGUUUCGAUUCCACGUCAUAUUGCUCGCUGCCUACCACUGAAAAUAUAUUGCCUCUUCAUAUGCCAUGAGCCUAAACACCUUACUCUUUCCUAGCAAACUUGCAUGGCUAGGUAGGCUUGCUCAGCUACUAAUGUUAGCAUUGCUAGUUGCAGGUGUUUAUAACUCAUGAGUUGCCAUGAGCUUGAUAUCAUUAUGUUAAUUUCUGUUAUUUAAUUAAUGUACUUAUAUAUUUGGUAAAUGACGGGAGGCCUAGCCUUUUGCCGGGUGUCUUGUUCCGUUAUUGCCGCCUUAGUUACCGGUUACCGGUGUUUGAUUCCAUAAUGAUCGCUCCUAACACGUUCGGGGUUGUUAUGGGGACCCCCUUGAUAAAUCGCGUAGUGUUAAGGCUUGUCCGGCAGGACCCAACUUUGGAUUUAAUCUGCUAAUCACUUAAUAAUAAACUGCAUAGGGAAUAGCUACCCCGAGGAAUCUAAUCAACAACCCGGGCCAGUGCUCCUCAUGAGCGUUGGUCCAAACUUGAGUCGUGUGCGGGGCCAACCCGGGGCAACUCGGGAGAUGUCUAUCAGGCCACCGUACGCAGUGCUCAUCCGGCGUGUCCUGAGAUUGAGAUACGCGGCUCUUAUCAGGGUCGUCGACACGGCGGGAGGUCCUGCUAGCCUUGUCUUACCUUAGCGGUAUAUCUUGCGUAUAGGAACCCCGGUGAGGCUUUGGUUUUCCCCAGAGUUGAGGUUUUCCUCUAAGGAAUCCGACGAGAUCACGAGAUUCGUGAUAGAGGAUGCCUUUGCGGCCUGUGUUCGUUUGUGAUGGACUAGUUGGAGCACCCCUGCAGGGUUUAAUCUUUCGGAAAGCCGUGCCCGCGGUUAUGUGGCAACUUGGAAUAUUUUGUUAACAUCCGGUAUUAGAAAACUUAAACAUAAACUAAUAAAAUAUGCCAACUGUGUGCGUAACCGUGACUGUCCCUUCGAAGAUCUCUCUUCGAUCGGGAACACGGUGGGGUUAUGAAUGCCGUAGGUAGGUGUUCAGGAUCACUUUCUGAUCAAGUAUUCACGAUCGUUAGUAUAGAACACUGUCACUUCUCCUUUGCGUAAGCUAGCCACUUAUUCAACCUUAGGAUGCAGCAGCCUGAAACACUUCACCCCUUCCUUACCCAAUAACAUGACUAGUUAUGGCACCAAGGUCUUAGAUUGCUGAGUCCCCGUGGCUCACGGAUUCCUCCGAAACUCCCAGCAGGUACAGGUACCCCAGAGGCAGAUGAUCCCGACGGCACCCAGCUGGCGUGGCAGUACGACGAGGAGACAGAUCGCCUUUACGUGAACUAUCCAGAGGACUGAGCCGUAGUCGUGAUCGUGGGCCUGCAGCGGGUAGCAUAGCAUUUUCCUUGUUUUGUAGUCCGUACCGGAACUACAUUGAUUGUAUCUGCGUUGUACUCUGUGUUUUUAAUAAGAAGACAGUUGAAUCCCAGAUUGUCUACUUUAUUUAUUAUUAUGUGCUAUGUUUACUUGCUUGCAAAACACUUAGAUGCGCUUCUUUCCUAUUCGGGGCCUCGACCCCCAGAUCGGAAAGGACCGCAUUUUGGUCGUUACACGUCUCUUGCUCCCUAUUCCAAAGCUUGCAAAGGCCACAGUUUGGCACCCACGUCGCUCCAGACAAUCGGCGGUCCAAAUUCGAUCUUGCAACGUGAGCCACGCAAAAAAUUUAACCUUUGGACGUGCGCAUGCCUUCCACACCAUGCGAUCCAAGGGGGAGAGGGUCAUGACUAGGAAUUGAACCCUGUAAGCAGUGGCCGCCGUGUAGAUUCUAUCGUUCGCAUGCUUCCAAAUGAUGAUAUCUUCGGCUUGCUCAUGAACGUGGACAUCAUUCAGGAGUGCGCAAAGCAUGAAAAUUUUUCGAAUGUGAGCGAUGGAGACAAGCGUGUUGUGAUUUAUUUUGAAAAUCCAUGCAUUCCCGCCAAGAGCCUCACAGACCUUCCAAUUUUUCCUUUUUGAUGCCUCAAAGAUGAGUGGUGCAAUAUCCUUAGCUUUGCGACCAAGAAGCCAAGGGGAAUCCCAAAAAGGCGUUUUUGCGCCAUCCCCAAUGAUGAUUGUCGUUGAGGCGUAGAAGAAGUUGAUGUCCUCCUUGCUGCACGGGUUUCCAAGGCCAACCCAUAAUCUGCGCGGCUCAUUCCAUUCAUACCAUAGCCACCGGAGUCACAGAGCAUGUGCAAACUUGUCAGUGUUGAGUACCCCGAGGCUACCAUAUUACUUUGGUCGAAAGACCACCUUCCAGUUGACCUUGCACUUGGCACCCGUUGUUUUGUCCGAGCUGGACCAAAGGAAAGGCUCUCAAUUUUGUUAAGGUUGUCCAACGAAUUCUAAGGCACAAUUAGGGGAGUGAUGGAGAACACAGCUUGGGAGGAGAUGACCGAUCUGAGAAGUGUUGUACGUCCAAUGGUAGUGAUGCUCUGGCCCUCCCAAGUAAUCAAUUUUCCGGCCGCCUUUUCCUCAAGGUAUUGAAAAUCCACCUUUUUAAAUCGCCGCACUCAGAGUGGCAGCCCAAGGUAUUUGAGUGGAACACUGGCAUGUGUAGCAGGCAUGCUCUGAAGAAUUUGCUGAAGAUCAAUGUGAUUGCAAAGGAUGGGCACAACUGAGCUUUUUUGGACGUUGGAACAGAGGCAUGUUGUAAAUUCCAAGAUGCGACUCUUUCCUUAUUUGGGGACGAGGCCUCAAAAGGGAAAAUGAACGCAUCUAAGCAUUUCGCAAGAACGGUAAACAUUGCAUUACAUACAAGAAGAGAUGAGUAUAUGAGUUGGCUUACACUCGCCACAAAUUAAUUUACAAAUCCAUUCAACAUUUAUCCAAGCAUUCAUAAGGCAGGGUCCGACUACGGACAAGAUAAACAACAAAAUAGCAAUGUUCCCGCCUCGCUGGGCCCAAGAGACGACCAAGGUCCUCUAAUCGUUGGGGUACGUCACGUACAUACGACCACUGCUCUCGUCGAACUCCCACUCCGGCUGAGUAGCAUCGAAAGCAUUUGGAUUUGCUGCAUCUGUACCUAUGAGGUGGUUGUAGUAAUCUGUGAGCCACAAGGACUCAGCAAUCUCAUGACCAUGAUAGCGAGUCUAACCAAGUUAUUGGGUGAGGAUGGGGUAUGCGUUUGAGUUUGCAGCAGCACUAAGCAUUUAUGGUGGCUAACUUACAAGAACAUGAAGUAGUUUGAGUGGUCUAGGCUUGAUGGUCGUGAACUAAGAAUAAUCACUAAGUGAUCCUGAACACCUACUUAAGUCACUCAUAACCCCAUCGUGUUCUCCAUCAGAGAAGAAGCUUUGAAGGAAAGAGUCACGGUUACGCACACAGUUGGCAGGUUUUAAUUAAGUUAUUUCAAGUUAUCUAGAACCGGGUGUUAAACAAAGUUUCCAUGUUUGCCACAUAACCGCAGGCACGACUUUCCAAAAGAUUUAACCCUGCAGGGGUGCUCCAACCAAUCCAUCACAAAUUACCACAAGCUACAUAGAAAGUCUCGAUCACGAAACUCAUGAUCUCCUAGGAUUUCUUAGUGGAAAACCUCAACUCUGAGUUAGCCCAAAGCAUCACCGGAAACCCGAUGCACAAGAUAUAUUGUUUAGGUAAAACAAGUCCAGCAAGACCACCUCACGUGUCGACGAACCCGAUAAGAGUCGCGUAUCUCAGUCUCAUGACACGACGGAGAAGCUAGUGUACAGGGCCAGAUAGAGAUCUCCAAGUUUUCCUGGGUUGGCCCCGCACAGUGCUCUAGUUUGGACCAACACUCAUGAGGAGCACUGGCCCCAGGGGAGGGUUGAUUAAGUUCCUCGGGGUAGAUAUUCCCUAUGCAUUUUAAUUAUUAAGUUUUUAGCAAAUAUAGUACCAAAAUUGGGUCUUGCCAUACAAGCCUUAAGACUAAACGAUUUAUCAAGGGGGUCCCCAUAACAAUCCCGAGCGUGUUAGGAGCGCUCAAUUAUGGAAUAAAAUACGAGUAGCCGAAACUAAGGCGGCAAAAGCGGAACAAAUCACCGGGCAUAAGGUCAGGCCUUCUGCCUUUUACAAAGUAUACAUGCGCAUUAAUUAAAUAGCAUUAAAUAAUAUGAUAAUCAAAUUGCCCAUGUUAUCACAUGGACCAGCUUGCACCUGCAACUAGCAAUGCUAUAAGAUGGUUGAACAAGCACUAACUUAGCCAAACAAUAUUAGCUAGAAGGUGAAGGGUUAGAGGUUUUCAUGGCAAUGUAUCAAGGCCUAAUAUUCAGGUGGUAGGCAGCGAGAAGUAAAGGUGGAAAUGAUUCAUCUACGCAUAACAAAGUUAGAAACAUUAUCACGUCAUAAUCAUCUUGCCUAUUGGAUCUUCAAACUAGAACUGCUCUUGCUCUUUCUGAACGUACUCGAUGGAAGCCUCGCACUCGUUCUCCGCAUCCACUGCUACCCAAAAUAAAUAAGCAUCCAAUAAACACUAGCAAGUAACAAUGCUACAAACAAUAUGACGCAUGGGUGUGGCAUGAAAGGAAAACAUGGCAUUGCUACACUAGUCAUCUUUGCAUGCAUUUCUUAAGUUAUUAGCAUUCUGUACAGAACCUCAAGUUCAAUUAUUUAGACAUGCAUGAACAUGGUAGAAAUGGAUGCAUCACGAGAAAACGAUGCAAAAACAUAUAAAGAACAUCGCGAACCGAGUUACUGAACUCUCGGAAACCACAAAACAAGAUACGGAAGGCUACGGAGACAAAACAACAAUAUACCACGGGCUAUGGGCAUCCUCUUGGGAUUCCAAGGUUGCCACUGGACUGAGCACAAACUUCCAGGUGGAAUGGACCUAAAAAUCAUGCAAUUUCGUCAAGCACAACUCACACAAAGCCCAAAACAAAAUAGCAAGCAAUCUGUCCACUAACAGCAUCGUACCACUUUGUUCAAAAGAAAUAUAGUAGCUACAGUCAACCGACUAAUUCAACCAAGGCAUGGAAUUGAAGCUUUCAAACAGUACAACAACACCUAACCAAUAGCUAAUUCACUAGGUGCAAGAAUCUCUCGCUACCAAGCUCUAAACAUGGCAAAAAUUAUAACACUUCAGGACUUAGUGAAAAUCACAGAUUUUCACUGGCAGUUAACAACCUGAAGCAUAUUGACAGCAAUAAAAUACUAUGCUACAGCAAACCUCAUGGCAUGAAAUUUAGGGCCAGUUCUUUUGGUGGCUUUUUUGAGCUUCUAGAAGCCCAACCAAACAUAUUUUUUGGAAGCCUACUAGUCAAGUCUUAAUUAGUAGACUUCUAAAAAAAUAAAUUUGGUUGGGCUUCUAAAACAAGCAGGGUAGAGGUAGCUUAUUCCAGCUUAUUCUAGAAGCCAACAAAAGAACUGGCCCUUAAGAGGAUGAUAGAGGACAACAUAUACUUCAAAACACUAGCAGUGAGCUUGGGCUAAAUCCCCACACAAUACUUAAUAGCACCGGUCUAACAUGGAAAGAAAUUAACUACAAAAUCUCACACUUAGAGAGAGAAAACAAGUAAAACAAUGAGCAACUUAUAUCAGCAUAGCAACUUUGACAAUGAAUAAAACUAUGAUGCAAGACCCUAUUGACAAACUUGACGCACCAAAUUGUAGAGGAUAUCAAGCAGAACAAAUCAUGUCACUUGAGCAAACUCAAAAGAGCAACAUAUCCAUGGGGAUCAUCAUCACAACAAGGGAAGAAAAUAAUAGUCCCCAACACUUACAAAAAUUCUAGCAUGUGAAUCUGGAAUAAUUUCUUAGCUACUUAACAACAAGGUAUCCACUCAUCUACAAGUUUAUCAUGGCAAACAAAAAUAUCAGGGCCUAGUACCCUCAAAACACUAGCACUUUCAUGUUGACACUAACUCCAAAGCAUGCCUAGAAUAAAUACUACAAAAUUCACAAAAUGCCACCUCAUCACAAAAUAUCACUUUUGCAAACUUGCUCAAAAGACAAAUCCAAUGAUACCAUUCGAUUCCUUGGAUUUUUCUACCCCAAAAUCAUAAUCAUACCUAUAUAUUUCUAUGGAGAAAACAACCACAAAACAGAAAUGAAAAUCACUCCCAAUUCCUAUUUGAUUUACUAGCAAAAGGGCCCGUGCGUUGCAACGGGAGAAAAAAAUACCACACACUUUUAAUCUUUUUAUAAUCAUUUUCAUUUAUUAAAAUAAUAAGCUAACUAACUAAUGUAGUCAGUCCUAUCCUAUUUUGUUGAGAAAUCAACCCAUCCAUUGUUAAUUCCACCAUGAUGAGAAAUUGAGCGGGACAAGCAAAGCAAAACAAAGAGGCUACGUGAAUUGAUCAAUGGAUUGCUAUCUUAUUUCACUCAUGGGGUAGAGAAUGUGGGAUCAGAUGACAAACUGAAGGUGGUGUUCCAUUCUCUGUCUAUACAACAAUACAAUCUUACAUUCAAUACAUUCAUUCAUCAGCAAACAAAUCCCCACAAAAUAAAAUUUCUUGCCGGUGCUUGGCACACUGUUGGAGGCAUGAGGAGGGGAUCUCACCAGAUGAUGAGUUCCUGCCGGAGGAGGGGAUACGAUGAGGGGAGCAAGGGUUAGGCGCCUCUAUCUGGCCAUAAGGAGUCGCCGUUGCCGCGCCAUAACCUCGGAGUUCCCCGUGUGAGCCAUGGAGGCCCGCCUCCACCUGCAAGUACUUCCCUCCGCCGUUCUGCAUCAAGCAGACGCAUCAUCCCCAGUCACUGUAGAUGUCGCGUUGAUUUGAUCCAGAAGCUGUGCUCGAGCGUCGAAACGGGGGCAGCAAGCGGGAAGAGGUACGGCCUUGGAGGCGGGUGGGUUGAGGUCGACAACAGUGGUGGUUGAGGUCGGCCGCGGCAGCGAGUGGUGUGGCAGCGGCCUGGGCACACGUCAGGGUGGACCAGGGUCGACGUGAUGCGCUCGAGCGCCGCAACGGGGGCAGUGAGCGGGGAGAGGUACGGCCGCGGAGGCGGGUGGGUUGAGAUCGGCAGCGGUGGCAGUUGAGGUCGGCCGCGGCGGCGAGUGGUGUGGCGGCGGCCUGGGCACAGUCCAGGGUGGCCCAGGGUCGACGGGAGGAGGCGAUGCGUACGGGUAUAAUUUUUGCAGCGAAUCGUUUUUCCUUUUGCGUUGCAGAUAAAUGAUGGAGCGCGGGUUGAAUAACAAAAAUUACAACGGGAGAAAGAAAUACCACACGGCACACGCUCUUAAUUUAUAAAAAAUGUCUAUAAUUUAAGAAUUUAUAGUUACGAUACAAAUAAAGAUGGUCUUAUCCUAAAAAAUGCAGUUCAAAAUUUCACAGGUCUCCUAUUUUAACACGGCUUGCAUGUAGAUUUAAUACGUACAAAGAAUCAGUCAAGUGACCUUCAGUUUCAUCUCUAAUCCUGAUUUUGUUGACGUGUUCAUUCCCAACCCGGAUGAGUACCGGUAUGAAAGAAAGACGAAUAAUGACUUAUUUAUUAAGAUUGCACCCUAGAUAGUAUUUUUAUUAAACGUUUAACAGAUAAAAUAAUAUCAUAUUUAAAUUCUACAUAUUUUUCUAAUCAAAUUCCAUGUAUAAUAUGUUAAAUUUAGAGUUACGGUUUAAAAGAUAUGAGUAUUUAAAAAAAUAUUUAAUAUAUACUACGAGUUUAAUGUCAUAACCAGUAAGGGCAUUUUUGUAAAAUCACCUCGGUGGGUUUUCCGACGGAAGCGAUAGCCUCUUUAUUAUUAGGUAAAGAUAAGUCACGUCAGCCCAAUUUGGCAUAUGCCAAAUAUGGCAGGUUCCAUAUUUAGAAAAUUCCAAAUAUGACAAGUUCUGGUUACAUACAGAAAAAAAAAGGGAGGUCCCACUGGGAGUGAGCCAGGGCCCCUAAGAGAAUGACAUGUGGGCCCCUGGGCCCACUGUGAGUGCCUCAACAUGGGUUGCAGGUUGCAAAAAAUGGGGUUUUAUAGCGCGUCGGGGGAGAUCGAACCUCCCAUGGCGCUUCGGGGCUCGGCGCGGCUCGAUGCCACUACGCUAGGAAGGGGGUCUGUACCCAUUGUUAAUUCCACCAUGAUGAGAAAUUGAGCGGGACAAGCAAAGCAAAACAAAGAGGCUACGUGAAUUGAUCAAUGGAUUGCUAUCUUAUUUCACUCAUGGGGUAGAGAAUGUGGGAUCAGAUGACAAACUGAAGGUGGUGUUCCAUUCUCUGUCUAUACAACAAUACAAUCUUACAUUCAAUACAUUCAUUCAUCAGCAAACAAAUCCCCACAAAAUAAAAUUUCUUGCCGGUGCUUGGCACACUGUUGGAGGCAUGAGGAGGGGAUCUCACCAGAUGAUGAGUUCCUGCCGGAGGAGGGGAUACGAUGAGGGGAGCAAGGGUUAGGCGCCUCUAUCUGGCCAUAAGGAGUCGCCGUUGCCGCGCCAUAACCUCGGAGUUCCCCGUGUGAGCCAUGGAGGCCCGCCUCCACCUGCAAGUACUUCCCUCCGCCGUUCUGCAUCAAGCAGACGCAUCAUCCCCAGUCACUGUAGAUGUCGCGUUGAUUUGAUCCAGAAGCUGUGCUCGAGCGUCGAAACGGGGGCAGCAAGCGGGAAGAGGUACGGCCUUGGAGGCGGGUGGGUUGAGGUCGACAACAGUGGUGGUUGAGGUCGGCCGCGGCAGCGAGUGGUGUGGCAGCGGCCUGGGCACACGUCAGGGUGGACCAGGGUCGACGUNNNNNNNNNNNNNNNNNNNNNNNNNNNNNNNNNNNNNNNNNNNNNNNNNNNNNNNNNNNNNNNNNNNNNNNNNNNNNNNNNNNNNNNNNNNNNNNNNNNNGUCGGGUUAGUUAGUUCUCUGCCACCCAUGGGAGGUCCUUGGCUUAUUAAUGGUGAUUCAACGGAAUUUACGAGGCUAGAAUCAUCGCAUCACAUGUAGGUUUAUUGCAGCGAUCGACGUAGCACCUCUCUGCGAAAUUUAWWAAAAACGUUUGAUGGCUUUUUUGAACGUCAUUACAUAUGCAAGCGUUUAUAUACAUGCACAUACAUUCACCCUAUGAAUGCACACACGUACACCUGAAUUUUUGUCUAAAAAAUCCACUAGCCGAGUGCUAUUGUCAAAAGGACCACAUGUGGUAUGGAUUGUCAGAAAAGACCCCCACAUCUUAUGGCGACAGGCGCGCCAGGUGCCACGCGUCACCUGGCGCGCCUGCCGCCAUAAAAUAAGGGGGGUCUUCUCUGGCAUUCCAUACCACAUGUGGUUUUUUUUGACAAUAGCACUCGGCUAGUGGUUUUUAACAAAAAUUCCGUACACCUUACCCCUAUGAACAUCUUCGAAAGAUCGAACCGGUAUAUCAUCUUAAGAUUUACCAAGUCAUCGCAGACACCUCGUCGUUGAAAACGUUUGAUAGGUGAUGUGAAAAUAAAACACGUCGUGGUCGUAUGAAUCCGUACACAUACGCCGGGCACCGGAGCGGACGGGCGGGCAGGCGACUUUUUAAAAUAAAACUAUCGUGCCUUUUCUAACGAAGGGGUAUAGAUAAUCCCAGCCAUCUUUGUGUUAGGGAUGAAAGAAAACAAAGAUGAUACGAGAAAUGCAUUAAUUUACAGAAGCCGUGGUUAAGUUUAGGAAUCUCACGCUCGACCCACUGUUGUUGCUGCCAGUUACAACGACACCAUUCAGAUAUAUCNNNNNNNNNNNNNNNNNNNNNNNNNNNNNNNNNNNNNNNNNNNNNNNNNNNNNNNNNNNNNNNNNNNNNNNNNNNNNNNNNNNNNNNNNNNNNNNNNNNNGGGGCCCGUGCUUACGUGGAUAAGUUGUGGGUCCAACUCCAUAUAGCUAAUGAGGGCAUCAGUUCAUAUUAAGGGCCAUGUCGUGUGUGGGAUAUUUCCUCGGUCAGAAACGUCGCACUGAGGCAAUUCAGACGAACGACGUCGCACUCCUUCCAAUUCACCUCAAAAACCUCGCACAUGAGCCAUUGACCCGCCAUGCUCCGUUGUUUCUUCCUUCUGAUUUUCUGGACCAGGUACGCUGCUUGAUUGCCAGCACGACGCGCAUCGUCUCCUAGUUUUUUUAAGGGGAGGGGGGGUGAAAUGAGAUGGCAUUAUAAUUAAGUAAUGUUGUUACGCUCGUCAUCUACUGGCUCGUCCCAAAAUUCUUUUCUUAAUGCGCGUUGCCAUGCUCCGUUGUUUAUUCCUUCUGAUUUCCUGGACCGAGUGCGCUGCUUGAUUGCCAGCACUACACGCAUCAUCUCUAGUUUUUUAGGGGGGAGGGUGAAAUGAGCUGGCAUUAUAAUUAAGUAAUGUUGUUACGCUCGUUAUCUACUGGCUCGUUCCAAAAUUCUUGUCUUAAUGCGCGUUGCCAUGCUCCGUCGUUUCUUUCUUCUGAUUUCCUGAACCGAGUACGCUGCUUGAUUGCCAGCACUACACGCAUCGUCUCAGUNNNNNNNNNNNNNNNNNNNNNNNNNNNNNNNNNNNNNNNNNNNNNNNNNNNNNNNNNNNNNNNNNNNNNNNNNNNNNNNNNNNNNNNNNNNNNNNNNNNNACACAGGACCGACGCCGACGCCAUGGAAGCUCGCUGCUCUGACCGCUUCUUCUUCUCCACCACUAAGUCAGAUUCCUCCCUCUUGUGUUCAUCAUCAUUGUGUUUCACUUAGUGGUUUUCCUGAUGCAUUGGUGCUUACUUGUGUGCAGUUUGAGAUCGACAAGUCCAAGAUGCAUCAAGGCAGAAACAUUCACAAUAGCAAGUCCUCCACCGGCUGCUGCUUCCCUCCACCUUGACAUCCCAUCAACGUCCCUGUGCAGCUGUACAUUUUACAAUGUCUGAUGUAAGACAAAAUUAAUAUGUAGAGCAGAUAAAACGGGGUAAUUAGUAGAGUUCAUUAUGGUAAAUGGGCAUGCUGUUCCUUGGGCAGCUGCACAAUUUAUUUGGAUCUGCCAAUUUUCUAUUAAGAGAGCAGAAGGUUGUGGUGUCACCUGCGAAUGCUUGUAAGGACCUCCUUAAAGGCAGACACGACCAGCUCGGCACAAGAGCUGAAGGUUGAAGAUGAAUCCGAGCCUUAGAUUUCAACUAAUGGCAAGUANNNNNNNNNNNNNNNNNNNNNNNNNNNNNNNNNNNNNNNNNNNNNNNNNNNNNNNNNNNNNNNNNNNNNNNNNNNNNNNNNNNNNNNNNNNNNNNNNNNNCUCAUUCCUGUGGAUGCUCGCGUACUCCUUUGCACCAGAAGCAUGUCGAUUUUAUGUGGUCGAGCACGUCGAACAGAUCCGAGUACAAACGAACGUACUAUGCAUCCUGGCCAUGUUUGGGAACGCGUAGGCCAUCCCCGGUGGCCACCGGAAUUCAGAGAACUCGUAGANCGGGCAUGGCGCACGUCUGCAGCCACAUGGACGCGGACGUGCCGAUGGCGUCCGAGAACUCAUGAACACAUAUAGGUCAAGCGGCUCCAAAUCCCUAAUAAGCGAAGUAACACAUAUAUAGGUAGCGCUCAUAGGCCCAUACCAUCAUACGUACAUUAUCAAAGACCUUCAAAAGGGAGAAUCAUAUGCCAUAUUAAUAUGUCACGUGCAAACAAAUCAAGAACAUAAUAAGGAUAGUAUUAUUACGUUGGAGGUAUUAGGCCCAGCCGCUUCUUGCUCCAGGUACACCAGGCCUCCAUCUCUUUUUCCGUCUUCUAAAACUGUGUUGAUCCACGCAGGAACUGACGCAUGAAGAACAUGCGAGUGGCACCAUCUAGACGGAGGAGCUACUUGCCUACUUGAGAAAAACAACAGGGGAUCCAAAUCAGAAUAAAUUCGAACGUAAUUUUUCUAUCACAUACAAACUCCUUACUACAAGAACAAAAUAAGAAUCCUAUUAUGUUGGUGGCAUUAGGCCAAUCGACUCCUUGCUGCAGGUCAUCUUCAUGUCAAGACGCAAGAACAUGUGUGGGGCAUNNNNNNNNNNNNNNNNNNNNNNNNNNNNNNNNNNNNNNNNNNNNNNNNNNNNNNNNNNNNNNNNNNNNNNNNNNNNNNNNNNNNNNNNNNNNNNNNNNNNAACGCGCAUUAAGAAAAGAAUUUUGGGACGAGCCAGUAGAUGACGAGCGUAACAACAUUACUUAAUUAUAAUGCCAUCUCAUUUCACCCCCCCCCCCUUAAAAAAACUAGAGACGAUGCGCGUCGUGCUGGCAAUCAAGCAGCGUACCUGGUCCAGAAAAUCAGAAGGAAGAAACAACGGAGCAUGGCGGGUCAAUGGCUCAUGUGCGAGGUUUUUGAGGUGAAUUGGAAGGAGUGCGACGUCGUUCGUCUGAAUUGCCUCAGUGCGACGUUUCUGACCGAGGAAAUAUCCCACACACGACAUGGCCCUUAAUAUGAACUGAUGCCCUCAUUAGCUAUAUGGAGUUGGACCCACAACUUAUCCACGUAAGCACGGGCCCCAAUUGUAAGUGCAUCAGGUCAAACGUAUCCCCGUGCCUGUUUGAAUGAGUAUCCCUGUCUGAACCUGUGUUGCUCCCUCCUCUUUGUUCCCGGUGGUGAGCCAGCGGCGGCGGCGGAGCUUUUGUUCUGGGUGACAGCAGUGGCGGCGCUUUCAUUCUCGGCGACGUCGGCGGCUGUGGUGAGAGCACCCUCUGUUUUCCUCUGUUCUCGAGUUCGAGCUCGAGGAAUACACAGAAGGCCCUUGUCGCGGCGGUGGCGUUCGUGCGCUUGAGAAUCCACUCGGUUCAUCUUCCUCCUCUCCGGUCGUGUCUGCGGCGAUCACCGGCGAGCCGCGAUUCCAUUUUGUCCUAACAUUUGGUAUCAGAGCGAGGGUGAGAGGGGGAGGUUGCCGGCCAUGGCGCUUGUUCCGGCUGCUUCACUCUCAUUGCAGGUUUAUAUAUCAAGCCAUCCAAAAAGUCACCACUCACAUCUGCAAACUUGAGACCAGCGGCUUAUCCUUCUUGGCGAUCACCACCAACGCCGCGUCCUCCGACGGCACCACCGCCUCCCAGAGACCGGCGGCAUCCAGGUCGGCCUCCACCUUGAUGGCCCAGGUGGUGAAGUUCUCCCCUGUGAGGAAGGGAACCGACGUAGCCAUCGCAUUCCCCGAUCCACCAGAGUACGGCAUGAGCGCCAUGGCCGGUGACCUCCCCCUCUCACCCUAGCUCUGAUGCCAAAUGUCAGGGCAAAAAUGGAACCGCCACGCUCCGGCGAUCACCCGAGACAACAAGCAAACGCGAGAGCGACGACGCCCAGGGUUCCCUGGUGCACAAACACCUUGUCGGAUCAGAGAAGGAAGAAGAACACGGACACGGCGAGGUGGUUUUCCCGGCGCUCGAACUCCCUUCCUUGAGCUCAGACUCAACACACACACUCGCCAGCAAGCUACACAACAGAGAUUUAUACCCGCGAGCACUUCCUUCACACAGCAUCCUGCUGGACAAAAUCUUAGAAGAAUUACUAGGAAUAAUUGGCUAAAUAAAAUGAGCUCAACAUUUGUUUAGAGAGGUUUUAUAGGUAGGAGAAUGUCCUGGUAAAAUUUGUCAAUUUAUGGAGCAACAUAAAACAUAGUUGCUUCACAAUCCAAAAUAAUGACGAGAGACAAAGAUUUGAUGCUAUGGUCACAUGGUUGAAGGAGUGAUGCUCAAAUUUGUAAAAGAGGCAUUAUUUAAGCAUUUUGAGAUGAUGGCAAAGUUUCAACGCAUUUGAACACUCCUAGCUAGCACUUGCUUCACAGAGCAUCCUUUGGAUCAGAAACUUUGGAAAUUUGCCAAGAAAUAUUUACUAGCUAAAUUGAGUUGAAUUUUGGCAUGAGGCAAUGAUAUGGAUAGGAGAAUGUCCUGGUAAAAUUUCAGAAUUUAUGGAGCAACAUAAAACAUAGUUGCUUCACAAUUCAAAACAUAAAACAUAGUUGCUUCACAACUUUGACCAAAUAAAGCACAGCCCACGGAUCGCUGGCGUGGCCCUACUUCCUGAUGCAGAUCGUUCAUUCAUGGCGAUCCAAUGGUCCGGACAGGUGUGGGGUUUUGAUGGNNNNNNNNNNNNNNNNNNNNNNNNNNNNNNNNNNNNNNNNNNNNNNNNNNNNNNNNNNNNNNNNNNNNNNNNNNNNNNNNNNNNNNNNNNNNNNNNNNNNAGGGGUUUGACCCCUCUAGUACUAACCACUAGGGGCUCCGGCUGCAGCUACCGGUAGAGGCCAGAUCGACGGUGUCGGCGAGCUCUCCGACGACCAUCGGGGCCAGGAGCGGCCACGGCAGGGCGGAGCACGGCGAGCUGCUGCUGUCGGCCAUGGCAGACACUGGCGACAGCGCCACCUACUGCACGGAAUUGACGAGGGGGGCAACGGGCUCGCCUCGCGGCCUGCAGCCGAGGUACUGCCAUCGAGGGAGGAGGUUGUGUCAUCGAGGAAGAACCGAAGAAGACGGGGCGAUGGCGAGCUGCUGCGGUGAAGAAGCCUCCCGAGACGAUGGCGGGGACGAGGUCGCCGACGGGGAUGCGGCCGCCCGCUCCUAGCGCCGGGAACGGAGCGAGAGGACAACCCUCGAUCUCUUGGCCAUCUCCGACGGAGUGAGGAAGGCCACCGACGGCGACGACAAAGAGGGGAAGGCCGGUGACACUUGUUUUCUCUCUGUGAACCUUUGUGUCUUGGAGAGACUUACCGUCAGGAGGGAGAAGAGAUGGAGAGGGAGGAGAGGUGGCAGCAUGAGGAGGGCGAGGGGGAACCCUAGGGCUGCGAGCCAGAUAAAUGGGGGCCCGCCUCGACGUCUGUGAAGGCCUCACGGCGACGGUGGUGCCCUCUCUGCUCGUUGUCCCCGACGAAAAGGCGACGGCGAACCUGACGGAGCAGGUAGGCGUGAGGAGAGAGAGUUGGGCCGGUGCGGAGGCGCUGCUCGGCUGCUGUGGGCUAGGCCUGGAGAGGGGAGAUGCCCAACUGGCUGGCUACCUCUCUCUUUCUGUUAAAACAAAAGUUUUCCUUUUGUUUUAAACAGGUGCUAAAGAAAAUAUAAACACCACUGAUUUGAGAGAGGUAAAGGAAAAUAAAAAUUCUUUUGGACACACAAAAAUGGGCUCUAUUUUAUAAAAAAAGCUUUGGCAUUUUAGAGCAAACAAAAAUAAACACAUAUAACUAACAUGGGCUCUAUGUUACAAAAACUACCAAAAGCAAAAACACCACAGAAUACCAAGUGAUACAUUCAAAAUCCACAACAGAAUAUUAGUGGAAGUUCCAACAUUUUUAUUUGGCAUAAGGAGGCACUUCUAUCACAGCUUCUAAAAUAAAAAGAAGAAGAGGGUUUUUCCCUAUUUGAUGCAACAAUGGUUGGAAGGGAAAAGGAAUAAGGUGGGGGUCAUCACACUAGAAACCACAUAGCACAACAAAACCCACAUCACACUUCACCAAAUAAGAUGCAACACACAGAUGUGAUGAUGAUGAUGCCAUGAUGCAAAAAGGGAUGGAAAGCAAAAAUUAUUUCAUUUCAAACACAUGACAUGCCAAAGUUGGAAGGUGCCACACAUGGAAGGUUACAUAAUGGAAAGGGGUGCACUUGGGUUAUUACACAUGUAACCUCCCCAAAGCCCCUCAUGAUAGGUGUGAGGUUGUCAAUGUCCCGCUUGAUGGGAGAUACAAAUACCGCCGCGUCAUCCGCAUAAAAGGGAGGUUCGCACCGUGAUACGUCUCCAACGUAUCUACUUUUCCAAACUCUUUUGCCCUUGUUUUGGACUAUAAUUUGCAUGAUUUGAAUGGAACUAACCUGGACUGACGCAAUUUUCAGCAGAAUUGCAUUGGUGUUAUUUUUGUGCAGAAAUCAAAGUUCUCCAAACGUCCUGAAAAUUUAAGGGGGACAGUUUUGGAAAAUAUCAAAAAUAUCUGUGCCAAGUUCCACCUCAGGGGGUGGGCCAGUGGUCCACAAGCCCCUGCUCCGCCACCACCCCCCUGGUGGCGGUGGGUAGGCUUGUCGGGCCCACAGGCACCUGCCGCCCCCAACUCCAGCUCUAUAAGUUGUCUUUCGUCCUAGAAAAAAUAAAGAGAGAAGUUUUUAUCGCGUUUUUGAUAUGGAGGCGCCGCCACCACCUGUUCUUCAUCUGGAGGGCAGAUCUGGAGUCCGUCUUGGCCUCCGGAGAGGGGAAAUCGUCUCCAUCGUCAGCAUCAACCUUCUUCCCUCUCCAAUUCCAUGAAGCUCUUCGUCGUUCGUGAGUAAUCUAUUCGUAGGCUCGCUAGGCGGUGAUGAGUAGGAUGAGAUCUAUCAUGUAAUCGAGUUAGUUUUGAUGGGGAUUGAUCCCUAGUAUCCACUAUGUUAUGAGAUUUGAUGUUGCUACUACUUUGCCAUGCUUAAUGCUUGUCACUAGGGCUCGAGUGCCAUGAUUUCAGAUCUGAAAUUAUUAUGUUGUCACCAAUAUAUGUGUUUUUUAGAUCCGAUCUUGCAAGUUGUAGUUACUUACUAUGUGUUAUGAUCCGGCAAUCCCGGAGUGACAAUAACCGGAACCACUCCCGGUGAUGAUCAUAGUUUGAGGAGUUCAUGUGUUCACCAACUGCUAAUGCGUUGGUCCGAUUCUUUAUUAAAAGGAGAACUUUAAUAUCCCGUAGUUUCCUUUUGGACCCCCCUGCCACGGGAGGGAUGGACAAUAGAUGUCAUGCAAGUCCUUUUUCCUAAGCACGUAUGACGACACACGGAAUGCCUGCCCACAUCACAUUGACGAACGGGAGCUAGCCACAUAUCUCUCCGUGUUAUAGCUGUUGCAUGAUGAAUAUCAUCCAAACAAAUCACCGACCCAUUGCCUACGAGUUUGUCCUACUACUGCUGUUACUUGUCUUGCUCUGCUGCUGCUACUAUUGUUGCUACUGCUGUUACUUGUCUUGCUCUCCUGCUGCUGCUACUACUGUUGCUACUGAUGUUACUUGUCUUGCUCUGUUGUUGCUGCUGUUACUGUUUCUACUACUGUCGCUUGCUACUGUUGCUACUUGCUACUGCUAUCACUACUGUUGUUCCUUGCCACUCCUAUUGCUCGUUACACUGCCGUUACUCGUUACUUUGCUGUUACUAUUGUGCUUGCAGAUACUAAUCUUUCAGAUGUGGUUGAAUCCGACAAAUUCAGCUGCUAAUACUUGAGAGUAUACUCUCACCUCCUGACGUGCAAACCAACAAAUUGGAUCGAAUACUCUACCCCCGAAAACUGUUGCAAACCCACACGCUGGUGAGCCAUCAACAACAUUCUUCAGUUUCAUUGCCGGGGAGUGCUAGCAGCAUUUUUCUGGUGUCGUUGCAGGAGAAGGUUCGUUCUCAUAAGCAUUCGUCUAGCUAACACUAGAGAUUGUAGGAUCAACCCUUUUCUGGAGCCAUUUUUAGAGGAAUUAGCUAAUUUUUGACGCGUAUAUUUAGGAACGGAGGGAGUAGAAAAAUAGUUGCAUGGCAUUUUUUAGAGGAAUUAGCUAAUUGAGGAUAUGUAACCUGCCAUGGCAUUUUUAUUAAUUAGAACAUGUCAUUUUUACUAAUACACAUAAGAAUAUUAUGUACCCAGGCAAAAGAGUGUACACGAUUGAGACAUAUAACAUUCAUAUGUAGAAAGAAGAAUUACUAAGAAAAAAUAUUAUGCAUUUGAACCAAGGAAUACAGUUGGAUGAACUAUUUUUUUAUGGAAAGGUAGUGGCUACACCUAAGUUCGGUGCACCUCAUGAUGAUCAAUAAAAUCNCAAACUCCUUCAAUCCUCUUGAAUCCACACGCAACCGAACAAGGCCUGAACGUUCUUUGCCUAGAUAUCUGGUUUCACCAAUCCACAAGUAGGACAAUCUGUGUGGAAGAUGUUAUGAAUGUGAAUCUGUCAUGUAAUGCUUUCUACUCCCUCUGUUCUUAAAUAUAAGUUUUUUUAAAAAUUUACUAAAAGACUACAUACGGAUGUAUAUAGACAUAUUUUAGAAUAUAGAUUCAUUCAUUUUGCUUUGUAUGUGGUCUUCUAGUGAAAUCUCUUAAAAAGACUUAUAUUUAGAAGCGGAGGGAGUAGAAAAAUAGUUGCAUGGCAUUUUUUUAGAGGAAUUAGCUAAUUGAGGAUAUGUAACCUGCCAUGGCAUUUUUAUUAAUUAGAACAUGUCAUUUUUACUAAUACACAUAAGAAUAUUAUGUACCCAGGCAAAAGAGUGUACACGAUUGAGACAUAUAACAUUCAUAUGUGAAAGAAGAAUUACUAGAAAAAAUAUUAUGCAUUUGAACCAAGGAAUACAGUUGGAUGAACAUUUUUUUAUUGGAAAGGUAGUGGCUACACCUAAGUUCGGUGCACCUCAUGAUGAUCAAUAAAAUCAAAUUACAUGGGAAGACAAAGAGCUGCGCAUGAGGGCCUGGAGCUCUUUAAAUCAUAUAUUAUAAACCAGUACUACUGGUUAGAGCAUGGUUAAUAGUAUAGCCAACAACUGGCUAUAAGCCAUCUUAUAGUCCAUUUUAUAGUUAGUUUGUAUAAUAGUUAGCUAUAAAAAAGUAUUACUUUUAUCAUAUAUGGUCCAUUUUUCAUUCUCACAAAUCACCUAGAAGCACGUGCUAGAGCUAGCUCUUUACGAAGAACCCGCUUCCCUUCUCUCUCCCCUUCUCUCUAAUGUGAAUCUGUCAGGUUAUACAAGUUCUUUUGUUUGCACUUUUUUCCAUGUCAAAACUAGUUGCCAUGCUUCCUCUAAUCUUGCCAUGACAUUUUUCAUAGCUAGCUAAUAAGUAGAAAAAACACAUGGCAACUAUGAGGGCUUGUUCGGUUAAUCGUCUUGAGGAGAGGAUUAGAGGGGAUUGACAAGGAUUGGGACAUAUUUUGACUUGUAAGGGGUUUAAAUCCACCUCAAACCCCUUCAAUCCUCUUGAAUCCACACGCAACCGAACAAGGCCUGAACGUUCAUAGUUUGACUUGUUAGCUUGUUGUCCUGCUCCUUCUCUGAAUGUUCAGUGAUGAUGGACGAAUCCUUUUCCAACGCAAAAAUCAAGUUUUUUAUCCUUCUUGAUCUGAUCUUGGCAUUGAAAGAAGCAUUGGCAUCGCGUGUCUCCAGCCAGCAAAUUCUUGAUGCGUGUCUCUUCCUCGCACACUCGACAGCCGCCAAACCGAGCAACCUUUGCUUGAGGAUCUUACGCAAUUUGAACUCUACAGCAGAAAGCAGUCAAGUUUCUUGGGCAACGUCAAACCUAAGGAUAAGCUCGUUUGCGAUGUGGAAUUGCAGCUCGACGUCACUAAAUAGGGACUUGCUCCAGAUCUUCAGGUUAAGACCGCCCUUUUCAACUUUAUGCGGAUGCGCGCAAAGGCACAAUGAGACUGCACCUCCCUGUUCCAAGCAUGCUCGACCGUCUCCUGGAACCUUGGGAACUUGGGUCAGAAGCUUUCGAACCCGAAUAUUGCGUUGCGGGGAGGGUGUUGUGAUGUACCGGACAACAACAACGGGCAGUGGUCGGAGCAGGAUGUGGAAGUAGCCAUCAGCAGCGACGAGGGAACACAUCGAUUCCCAUACCAGGUUGUAGAAAAACUUGUCGAUGCUGACGAAGGUGGGGCGCCGACGCUUGUGGCCACAAAUAAACCGGUGAUUCUUGCAUUUCAUUUUGCGGAGAGCUGCUACGUCGAUUGCCGCAAUAAACCUACCCAUAGUGCGAUGGUUUAGGUUUAAGUACUCUUGUUCCUAGCGUCACAAAUUGCAUUGAAAUCAGUGUUAAUAAGUCAGGGAUCUCCGAUGUGUGGCACAAAACUAACUAACCUGAGGAGGAAUUGUUCUCUGUGAGCAUCGUCCGUAGGGUCGUAGACUGUUUUUAACCAGUAAGUCUAAGAGGAUCUAAUUGUUUUGACGUGUGUAGUGAUGGAGAAGAUUCCAAUGCUAUGCAAAGAAACAAAAACUACAAAGUCGUCCAAGAAGAUGCAUGCGCCGCCUCUAGUGCCGAUCGCGGGGAGAACCACACAUUAUUGCGGUCGCGGGCCUCCUACUUUCCUAACUAGCUUCCGGUCGCAAGUUUCAAUUUUUGUUUCUUGGAGGCAGAGGAUAGCCACCUUUUGCGCGCAGGCAGCCUCGCAGAUCGCCGAACGCUUCGCCGGCGAGUUUAGGCCUCGCACAUUCCAGCUAAUGGUGGGAGGGGUGUCAUCCAUGGGGAAACGGGGCAAUUCUCUCAAAGCUGAUUGAACUACUCAAACGAGGGCACACCAUCCUUACAACCUGCAUACCAAUCUAUUUAACAAGCUAACUUUGUUCAAGGGGGUGGCAUUGUUGUGUGUUCAGGGGGAUGGCAUUUUGUGUGUCCAUGGGGUGGCAAUUUUUAUCUAUUUAUUCUUCGACAAAUUCGUGGGAAGACAUUUGAAUGUGAAUCUGUCAGGUUAUACAAGUUUUUUGUUUGCACUUUUUUCCAUGUCAAAACUAGUUGCCAUGCUUUCUCUAAUCUUGCCAUGACAUUUUUCGUAGCUAGCUAAUAAGUAGAAAAAAUACAUGGCAACUAUGAGGGCUUGUUCGGUUAAUCGUCUUGAGGAGAGGAUUAGAGGGGAUUGACAAGGAUUGGGACAUAUUGUGACUUGUAAGGGGUUUAAAUCCACCUCAAACUCCUUCAAUCCUCUUGAAUCCACACGCAACCGAACAAGGCCUGAACGUUCUUUGCCUAGAUAUCUGGUUUCACCAAUCCACAAGUAGGACAAUCUGUGUGGAAGAUGUUAUGAAUGUGAAUCUGUCAUGUAAUGCUUUCUACUCCCUCUGUUCUUAAAUAUAAGUUUUUUUUAAAAAUUUACUAAAAGACUACAUACGGAUGUAUAUAGACAUAUUUUAGAAUAUAGAUUCAUUCAUUUUGCUUUGUAUGUGGUCUUCUAGUGAAAUCUCUUAAAAGACUUAUAUUUAGAAGCGGAGGGAGUAGAAAAAUAGUUGCAUGGCAUUUUUUAGAGGAAUUAGCUAAUUGAGGAUAUGUAAUCUGCCAUGGCAUUUUUAUUAAUUAGAACAUGUCAUUUUUACUAAUACACAUAAAAAUAUUAUGUACCCAGGCAAAAGAGCGUACACGAUUGAGACAUAUAACAUUCAUAUGUGAAAGAAGAAUUACUAGAGAAAAUAUUAUGCAUUUGAACCAAGGAAUACGGUUGGAUGAACUUUUUUUUUGGAAAGGUAGUGGCUACACCUAAGUUCGGUGCACCUCAUGAUGAUCACUAAAAUCAAAGGGAAAAUAUAAGGAGAAGCGUUGCACCACACUUUUCCCAUGCGGCGGCUUGCACAACCUUAUUUGCAUGCAAGAAUCUUUUACCUCAUGCUUACAUCAUCGCAUUAAAUGUAUUUUUCGUAUUUUAAAAGGAAUUUAUCUCACAGGUUAAUAAUUUGAUUGAAGAUUUGUCUUCACCGUUAGGUUCGUCUCGACGAGACCUUUAAAAUAAGAUCCCAUGUUAACAUGUUUCGUUGAAUUUUUUUCGUCGUUUCUAGUUGCCACAUUUAUGUCAUCAUAGUUGUCAUCUUACGGAUGUCCAGUUGUCAUAAAAAUUAUACAUAGUUAGAGCAAGUACAAUAGAGCUGAGUCAGUUGGCUAUAAGGAAUAAAGUAGUAUAUUUUUGUUUAGUUGGAAGAGAGAGAAGAGGAGAGAGAAGGUAAGCGGGCUCUUAGCUAAGAGCCAGCUCUAGCACGUGCUCCUAGGCACUUUGUGAGUAUGAAAGAUAGACCAUAUAAUAAAUAAAUAGUACACUCCUCUAAUCAACUAUUGUACAUGUUAGCUAUAAGAUGGGCUAUAGGUGACAUGGCAUGAGCUCGGCAGCCGGCUCUACUAUUGUACUUGCUCUUACCGGGACAAUAAUUUUAUACUUUUUAAAUAUUGCAGUGUUAUGUGGAGCUAAAAGAUGAGUAUUAAAGCACUAACAAUAAGCAAGUAAAUGCAAGAACAACUCAAGUACAAUGAGUCAAGCUUUUUAGUGGGGAUAUAUCGACAUUCAUAAAUCUGAUAACCAAGUUGAUUUAAUGUGAGAACUACGUGACAAAUAAUGUGACAAGUAAGUGAUAGUAAUCUGGUAAGUAACGACGAAAAAUAAAAGUUAUCGAAACAUAUCGACAUGGGAUCUAGUUUUAAAGAUCUCGUUGCGAUAAAGUCAAUGAUGAAAGCAAAUCACUAAUUGAGAUAACGGUUUGAGAAAUAAAUCUUUUAUAAAAUGCAAAAGCGUUGCUAUUAAUACUUCUUGGAUGCAUGUCCAGCCUGCAUGCAGUGUAAGCCCAUGCUAGACUAAAAGCAUUGAUUUUUUUACAUGAUAAAAAUAUGGUUGAAAACGUGAAUUACAGAAGAGGCAGCAGCGGCCGCACCACAAGACACAGGUAGGGCGCCGCUGCAUAGUGACAUCGAAAAUCAAAUUAUAUGGGAAGACAAAGAGCUGCGCACGAGGACAUGCAGCUCUUUAAAUCAUAAACCAGUACUACCGGUUGUACAUUACAAAGCAUUUGAAUGACUAGAAAAAUCAACAAAACCUAUCAGAAUCUCUGCAUUGGGCAGUUGGGCGGCAGCUAGCUUGUACUACGUCAAAACUAACACGGCCUGUGAUCUGCCUCCACCGCACCUUCUCUUGAAGCUCUGAUCCUCACAAUCUGCGCGCGUCCUCUUUGAAUGUGAAUCUGUCAGGUUAUACAUUUGAAUAUGAAUCUGUCAGGNNNNNNNNNNNNNNNNNNNNNNNNNNNNNNNNNNNNNNNNNNNNNNNNNNNNNNNNNNNNNNNNNNNNNNNNNNNNNNNNNNNNNNNNNNNNNNNNNNNNGGUACAUUCCCGGUAACUCCGAAAACCUUCCGGUAAUCAAAUGAGGUCAUCCUAUAUAUCAAUCUUCGUUUCCGGACUAUUCCGAAAACCCUCGUGACGUCCGUGAUCUCAUCUGGGACUCCGAACAACAUUCGGUAACCAACCAUAUAACUCAAAUACGCAUAAAACAACGUCGAACCUUAAGUGUGCAGACCCUGCGGGUUCGAGAACUAUGUAGACAUGACCCGAGAGACUCCUCGGUCAAUAUCCAACAGCGGGACCUGGAUGCCCAUAUUGGAUCCUACAUAUUCUACAAAGAUCUUAUCGUUUGAACCUCAGUGCCAAGGAUUCGUAUAAUCCCGUAUGUCAUUCCCUUUGUCCUUUGGUAUGUUACUUGCCCGAGAUUCGAUCGUCAGUAUCCGUAUACCUAUUUCAACCUCGUUUACCGGCAAGUCUCUUUACUCGUUCCGUAAUACAAGAUCCCGCAACUUACACUAAGUUACAUUGCUUGCAAGGCUUGUGUGUGAUGUUGUAUUACCGAGUGGGCCCCGAGAUACCUCUCCGUCACACGGAGUGACAAAUCCCAGUCUUGAUCCAUACUAACUCAACUAACACCUUCGGAGAUACCUGUAGAGCAUCUUUAUAGUCACCCAGUUACGUUGCGACGUUUGAUACACACAAAGCAUUCCUCCGGUGUCAGUGAGUUAUAUGAUCUCAUGGUCAUAGGAAUAAAUACUUGACACGCAGAAAACAGUAGCAACAAAAUGACACGAUCAACAUGCUACGUCUAUUAGUUUGGGUCUAGUCCAUCACGUGAUUCUCCCAAUGACGUGAUCCAGUUAUCAAGCAACAACACCUUGUUCAUAAUCAGAAGACACUGACUAUCAUCGAUCAACUGGCUAGCCAACUAGAGGCAUGCUAGGGACGGUGUUUUGUCUAUGUAUCCACACAUGUAAAUGAGUCUUCAUUCAAUACAAUUAUAGCAUGGAUAAUAAACUAUUAUCUUGAUACAGGAAUUAUAAUAAUAACUAUACAUUUAUUAUUGCCUCNNNNNNNNNNNNNNNNNNNNNNNNNNNNNNNNNNNNNNNNNNNNNNNNNNNNNNNNNNNNNNNNNNNNNNNNNNNNNNNNNNNNNNNNNNNNNNNNNNNNCGGUGGAGAGACGAGGUCUCCCGGCAGGGCUUCGCCAAGCGCCGGCAGAGAGGAGGAGGGAGAGGAGCAGGGCUGCGCCGAGAGAGAGAUCAAACCGUGUCUCCAACAGCCCCGAGUCCUCAUCUAUUUAUAGGAGGAGGGGGAGGGGGCGCAGCCCCCUAGGGUUCCCACCCCCAAGGGGGUGCGGGCAGCCCCUAGGAUGGGGAGAGGGGGGCGGCGGCCAGGGGCAGGGAGGAGGGGUGGCGCACCCCUCUGGUGGGCCUUAGGCCCACCUAUGCCAGGGUUCCCCCUUCCCCCUUUUCUCUGGUGCGCAUGGGCUGGGUGGGGGGCGCACCAGCCCACCUAGGGGCUGGUUCCCUUCCACUUAGCCCAUCUAGCCUCCCGGGGUCGUUGCCCCCCUUCGAUGGUCCCCCGGGACCACCUCCGGUGGUCCCAGUGGUCCCGGUACGUUACCGGUGACGCCCGAAACAAUUCCGGUGUCCAAAACCAUCCGUCCUAUAUAUCAAUAUUUACCUCCGGACCAUUCCGGAGCUCCUCGUGACGUCCGGGAUCUCAUCGAGGACUCCGAACAACUUUCGGUAACCUCGUACAACAAUUCCCUAUAACCCUAGCGCCAUCGAACCUUAAGCGUGUAGACCCUACGGGUUCGGGAGACAGGUAGACAUGACCGAGACACCUCUCUGGCCAAUAACCAUCAGCGGGGUCUGGAUACCCAUGGUGGCUCCCACUAGCUCCACGAUGAUCUCAUCGGAUGAACCACGAUGUCAAGGAUUCAGUAAAUCCCGUAUACGAUUCCCUUUGUUUGUCGGUAUAGAACUUGCCCGAGAUUCGAUCGUCGGUAUACCUAUACCUUGUUCAAUCUCGUUACCGGUAAGUCUCUUUACUCGUUCCGUAGCAUGUCAUCGUGUGACUAACUCCUUAGUCACAUUGAGCUCAUGAUGAUGUUCUACCGAGUGGGCCCAGAGAUACCUCUCCGUCACACGGAGUGACAAAUCCUGAUCUCGAUUCGUGCCAACCCAACAGACACUUUCGGAGGUACCCGUAGUGCACCUUUAUAGUCACCCAGUUACGUUGUGACGUUUGAUACACCCAAAGCACUCCUACGGUAUCCGGGAGUUGCACAAUCUCACGGUCGAAGGAAAAGAUACUUGACAUUAGAAAAGCAUUAGCAUACGAACAAUACGAUCUUGUGCUAGGCUUAGGAUUGGGUCUUGUCCAUCACAUCAUUCUCCCAAUGAUGUGAUCCCGUUAUCAAUGACAUCUAAUGCCCAUGAUCAGGAAACCAUGAUCAUCUAUUGACUAACGAGCUAGCCAACUAGAGGCUUGCUAGGGACACAUUGUGAUCUAUUCAUUCACACAUGUAUUACUGUUUCCUGUUAAUACAAUUAUAGCAUGAACGAUANNNNNNNNNNNNNNNNNNNNNNNNNNNNNNNNNNNNNNNNNNNNNNNNNNNNNNNNNNNNNNNNNNNNNNNNNNNNNNNNNNNNNNNNNNNNNNNNNNNNGGUUAUUGGCCAGAGAGGUGUCUCGGUCAUGUCUGCCUGUCUACCCGAACCGUAGGGUCUACACGCUUAAGGUUCGAUGACGCUAGGGUUAUAGGGAAUUGUUGUACGAGGUUACCGAAAGUUGUUCGGAAUCCCGGAUGAGAUCCCGGACGUCACGAGGAGCUCCAGAAUGGUACCGGAGGUAAAUAUUGAUAUAUAGGACGGAUGGUUUUUGGACACCGGAAUUGUUUCGGGCGUCACGGGUAACGUCCCGGGACCACCGGGACCACCGGAGGUGGUCCCGGGGGACCACCGAAGGGGGGCAACGACCCCGGGAGGCUAGAUGGGCUAAGUGGAAGGGAACCAGCCCCUAGGUGGGCUGGUGCGCCCCCCACCCAGCCCAUGCGCACCAGAGAAAAGGGGGAAGGGGGAACCCUGGCAUAGGUGGGCCUAAGGCCCACCAGAGGGGUGCGCCACCCCUCCUCCCUGCCCUGGCCGCCGCCCCCUCUCUCAUCUGGGGCUGCCGCACCCCUUGGGGGUGGGAACNNNNNNNNNNNNNNNNNNNNNNNNNNNNNNNNNNNNNNNNNNNNNNNNNNNNNNNNNNNNNNNNNNNNNNNNNNNNNNNNNNNNNNNNNNNNNNNNNNNNGAGGCAAUAAUAAAAUGGUUAUUAUCAUAUUUCCUUGUUCAUGAUAAUCGUCUAUCGUUCAUGCUAUAAUUGUAUUAACAGGAAACAGUAAUACAUGUGUGAAUGAAUAGAUCACAAUGUGUCCCUAGCAAGCCUCUAGUUGGCUAGCUCGUUAGUCAAUAGAUGAUCAUGGUUUCCUGAUCAUGGGCAUUAGAUGUCAUUGAUAACGGGAUCACAUCAUUGGGAGAAUGAUAUGAUGGACAAGACCCAAUCCUAAGCCUAGCACAAGAUCGUAUUGUUCGUAUGCUAAUGCUUUUCUAAUGUCAAGUAUAUUUUCCUUCGACCGUGAGAUUGUGCAACUCCCGGAUACCGUAGGAGUGCUUUGGGUGUAUCAAACGUCACAACGUAACUGGGUGACUAUAAAGGUGCACUACGGGUACCUCCGAAAGUGUCUGUUGGGUUGGCACGAAUCGAGAUCGGGAUUUGUCACUCCGUGUGACGGAGAGGUAUCUCUGGGCCCACUCGGUAGAACAUCAUCAUGAGCUCAAUGUGACUAAGGAGUUAGUCACACGAUGACGUGCUACGGAACGAGUAAAGAGACUUACCGGUAACGAGAUUGAACAAGGUAUAGGUAUACCGACGAUCGAAUCUCGGGCAAGUUCUAUACCGACAGACAAAGGGAAUCGUAUACGGGAUUGAUUGAAUCCUUGACAUCGUGGUUCAUCCGAUGAGAUCAUCGUGGAGCUAGUGGGAGCCACCAUGGGUAUCCAGACCCCGCUGAUGGUUAUUGGCCAGAGAGGUGUCUCGGUCAUGUCUGCCUGUCUCCCGAACCCGUAGGGUCUACACGCUUAAGGUUCGAUGACGCUAGGGUUAUAGGGAAUUGUUGUACGAGGUUACCGAAAGUUGUUCGGAAUCCCGGAUGAGAUCCCGGACGUCACGAGGAGCUCCAGAAUGGUCCGGAGGUAAAUAUUGAUAUAUAGGACGGAUGGUUUUGGACACCGGAAUUGUUUCGGGCGUCACGGGUAACGUCCCGGGACCACCGGGACCACCGGAGGUGGUCCCGGGGGACCACCGAAGGGGGGCAACGACCCCGGGAGGCUAGAUGGGCUAAGUGGAAGGGAACCAGCCCCUAGGUGGGCUGGUGCGCCCCCCACCCAGCCCAUGCGCACCAGAGAAAAGGGGGAAGGGGGGAACCCUGGCAUAGGUGGGCCUAAGGCCCACCAGAGGGGUGCGCCACCCCUCCUCCCUGCCCUGGCCGCCGCCCCCUCUCUCAUCUGGGGCUGCCGCACCCCUUGGGGGUGGGAACCCUAGGGGCUGCGCCCCCUCCCCCUCCUCCUAUAAAUAGAUGAGGACUCGGGGCUGUUGGAGACACGGUUUGAUCUCUCUCUCGGCGCAGCCCUGCUCCUCUCCCUCCUCCUCUCUGCCGGCGCUUGGCGAAGCCCUGCCGGGAGACCUCGUCUCUCCACCGNNNNNNNNNNNNNNNNNNNNNNNNNNNNNNNNNNNNNNNNNNNNNNNNNNNNNNNNNNNNNNNNNNNNNNNNNNNNNNNNNNNNNNNNNNNNNNNNNNNNGAGGCAAUAAUAAAAUGGUUAUUAUCAUAUUUCCUUGUUCAUGAUAAUCGUCUAUCGUUCAUGCUAUAAUUGUAUUAACAGGAAACAGUAAUACAUGUGUGAAUGAAUAGAUCACAAUGUGUCCCUAGCAAGCCUCUAGUUGGCUAGCUCGUUAGUCAAUAGAUGAUCAUGGUUUCCUGAUCAUGGGCAUUAGAUGUCAUUGAUAACGGGAUCACAUCAUUGGGAGAAUGAUGUGAUGGACAAGACCCAAUCCUAAGCCUAGCACAAGAUCGUAUUGUUCGUAUGCUAAUGCUUUUCUAAUGUCAAGUAUCUUUUCCUUCGACCGUGAGAUUGUGCAACUCCCGGAUACCGUAGGAGUGCUUUGGGUGUAUCAAACGUCACAACGUAACUGGGUGACUAUAAAGGUGCACUACGGGUACCUCCGAAAGUGUCUGUUGGGUUGGCACGAAUCGAGAUCAGGAUUUGUCACUCCGUGUGACGGAGAGGUAUCUCUGGGCCCACUCGGUAGAACAUCAUCAUGAGCUCAAUGUGACUAAGGAGUUAGUCACACGAUGACAUGCUACGGAACGAGUAAAGAGACUUACCGGUAACGAGAUUGAACAAGGUAUAGGUAUACCGACGAUCGAAUCUCGGGCAAGUUCUAUACCGACAAACAAAGGGAAUCGUAUACGGGAUUUACUGAAUCCUUGACAUCGUGGUUCAUCCGAUGAGAUCAUCGUGGAGCUAGUGGGAGCCACCAUGGGUAUCCAGACCCCGCUGAUGGUUAUUGGCCAGAGAGGUGUCUCGGUCAUGUCUACCUGUCUCCCGAACCCGUAGGGUCUACACGCUUAAGGUUCGAUGGCGCUAGGGUUAUAGGGAAUUGUUGUACGAGGUUACCGAAAGUUGUUCGGAGUCCUCGAUGAGAUCCCGGACGUCACGAGGAGCUCCGGAAUGGUCCGGAGGUAAAUAUUGAUAUAUAGGACGGAUGGUUUUGGACACCGGAAUUGUUUCGGGCGUCACCGGUAACGUACCGGGACCACUGGGACCACCGGAGGUGGUCCCGGGGGACCAUCGAAGGGGGGCAACGACCCCGGGAGGCUAGAUGGGCUAAGUGGAAGGGAACCAGCCCCUAGGUGGGCUGGUGCGCCCCCCACCCAGCCCAUGCGCACCAGAGAAAAGGGGGAGGGGGAACCCUGGCAUAGGUGGGCCUAAGGCCCACCAGAGGGGUGCGCCACCCCUCCUCCCUGCCCUGGCCGCCGCCCCCUCUCCCAUCUAGGGCUGCCGCACCCCUUGGGGGUGGGAACCCUAGGGGCUGCGCCCCCUCCCCCUCCUCCUAUAAAUAGAUGAGGACUCGGGGCUGUUGGAGACACGGUUUGAUCUCUCUCUCGGCGCAGCCCUGCUCCUCUCCCUCCUCCUCUCUGCCGGCGCUUGGCGAAGCCCUGCCGGGAGACCUCGUCUCUCCACCGNNNNNNNNNNNNNNNNNNNNNNNNNNNNNNNNNNNNNNNNNNNNNNNNNNNNNNNNNNNNNNNNNNNNNNNNNNNNNNNNNNNNNNNNNNNNNNNNNNNNCAAGCAGCGCACUCGGUCCAGGAAAUCAGAAGGAAUAAACAACGGAGCAUGGCAACGCGCAUUAAGAAAAGAAUUUUGGGACGAGCCAGUAGAUGACGAGCGUAACAACAUUACUUAAUUAUAAUGCCAUCUCAUUUCACCCCCCCCCCCUUAAAAAACUAGAGACGAUGCGCGUCGUGCUGGCAAUCAAGCAGCGUACCUGGUCCAGAAAAUCAGAAGGAAGAAACAACGGAGCAUGGCGGGUCAAUGGCUCAUGUGCGAGGUUUUUGAGGUGAAUUGGAAGGAGUGCGACGUCGUUCGUCUGAAUUGCCUCAGUGCGACGUUUCUGACCGAGGAAAUAUCCCACACACGACAUGGCCCUUAAUAUGAACUGAUGCCCUCAUUAGCUAUAUGGAGUUGGACCCACAACUUAUCCACGUAAGCACGGGCCCCAAUUGUAAGUGCAUCAGGUCAAACGUAUCCCCGUGCCUGUUUGAAUGAGUAUCCCUGUCUGAACCUGUGUUGCUCCCUCCUCUUUGUUCCCGGUGGUGAGCCAGCGGCGGCGGCGGAGCUUUUGUUCUGGGUGACAGCAGUGGCGGCGCUUUCAUUCUCGGCGACGUCGGCGGCUGUGGUGAGAGCACCCUCUGUUUUCCUCUGUUCUCGAGUUCGAGCUCGAGGAAUACACAGAAGGCCCUUGUCGCGGCGGUGGCGUUCGUGCGCUUGAGAAUCCACUCGGUUCAUCUUCCUCCUCUCCGGUCGUGUCUGCGGCGAUCACCGGCGAGCCGCGAUUCCAUUUUGUCCUAACAUUUGGUAUCAGAGCGAGGGUGAGAGGGGGAGGUUGCCGGCCAUGGCGCUUGUUCCGGCUGCUUCACUCUCAUUGCAGGUUUAUAUAUCAAGCCAUCCAAAAAGUCACCACUCACAUCUGCAAACUUGAGACCAGCGGCUUAUCCUUCUUGGCGAUCACCACCAACGCCGCGUCCUCCGACGGCACCACCGCCUCCCAGAGACCGGCGGCAUCCAGGUCGGCCUCCACCUUGAUGGCCCAGGUGGUGAAGUUCUCCCCUGUGAGGAAGGGAACCGACGUAGCCAUCGCAUUCCCCGAUCCACCAGAGUACGGCAUGAGCGCCAUGGCCGGUGACCUCCCCCUCUCACCCUAGCUCUGAUGCCAAAUGUCAGGGCAAAAAUGGAACCGCCACGCUCCGGCGAUCACCCGAGACAACAAGCAAACGCGAGAGCGACGACGCCCAGGGUUCCCUGGUGCACAAACACCUUGUCGGAUCAGAGAAGGAAGAAGAACACGGACACGGCGAGGUGGUUUUCCCGGCGCUCGAACUCCCUUCCUUGAGCUCAGACUCAACACACACACUCGCCAGCAAGCUACACAACAGAGAUUUAUACCCGCGAGCACUUCCUUCACACAGCAUCCUGCUGGACAAAAUCUUAGAAGAAUUACUAGGAAUAAUUGGCUAAAUAAAAUGAGCUCAACAUUUGUUUAGAGAGGUUUUAUAGGUAGGAGAAUGUCCUGGUAAAAUUUGUCAAUUUAUGGAGCAACAUAAAACAUAGUUGCUUCACAAUCCAAAAUAAUGACGAGAGACAAAGAUUUGAUGCUAUGGUCACAUGGUUGAAGGAGUGAUGCUCAAAUUUGUAAAAGAGGCAUUAUUUAAGCAUUUUGAGAUGAUGGCAAAGUUUCAACGCAUUUGAACACUCCUAGCUAGCACUUGCUUCACAGAGCAUCCUUUGGAUCAGAAACUUUGGAAAUUUGCCAAGAAAUAUUUACUAGCUAAAUUGAGUUGAAUUUUGGCAUGAGGCAAUGAUAUGGAUAGGAGAAUGUCCUGGUAAAAUUUCAGAAUUUAUGGAGCAACAUAAAACAUAGUUGCUUCACAAUUCAAAACAUAAAACAUAGUUGCUUCACAACUUUGACCAAAUAAAGCACAGCCCACGGAUCGCUGGCGUGGCCCUACUUCCUGAUGCAGAUCGUUCAUUCAUGGCGAUCCAAUGGUCCGGACAGGUGUGGGGUUUUGAUGGGGUUUUCAAACGUUAGGGUUGAGCAUAAGUAAUUCAAAAAAAUCAAAAAAUAGGAAACUUGUGGCAAUCAUCAUUAUAUGUGACUAACUCCAUAGGAAAAAUAAGAAAUCUAGAAUAUGGAGUUUUUCAUGAAAAAACCUUCACAAACUUGGCUAUCACGAACGAGGUUGUACGGUUUUCAAACGUUAGGGUUGAGCAUAAGUAAUUCAAAAAAAUCAAAAAAACAGGAAACGUGUGACAAUCAUCAUUAUAUGUGACUAACUCCAUAGGAAAAAUAAGAAAUCUGGAAUAUGGAGUUUUUCAUGAAAAAACCUUCACAAACUUGGCUAUCACGAACGAGGUUGUACGGUUUUCAAACGUUAGGGUUGAGCAUAAGUAAUUCAAAAAAAAUCAAAAAAUAGAAAACCGGUGGCAAUCAUCAUUAUGUGACUAACUCCAUAGGAAAAAUAAGAAUUCUGGAAUAUGGACUUUUUCAUGAAAAAACCUUCACAAACUUGGCUAUCACGAACGAGGUUGUACGGUUUUCAAACGUUAGGGUUGAGCAUAAGUAAUUCAAAAAAUGAAAAAAAAUAGAAAACUUGUGGCAAUCAUCAUUAUAUGUGACUAACUCCAUAGGAAAAAUAAGAAAUAUGAAAUAUGGAGUUUUUCAUGAAAAAACCUUCACAAACUUGGCUAUCACAAACGAGGUUGUACGGUUUUCAAACGUUAGGGUUGAGCAUUCAAAAAAAUUAAAAAAAUAGAAAACUGGUGCCAAUCAAUUUGAGCAGUUAGUAUAUGACAAAGUAAGAACAUGUGUACUGGUUUUCCAAUAUAUUUGUUUUAAUUUUUAUGCUCAUUUCAAACUUGGUCAAACCUAAGUUUGACAAACAUUUAAACAAGUUGCAAACAUGAAAAUGACAAACCAAACCUGGAUCCUUCUUAGUCACUCCAAAAUGAAGCUUGUGUGAUGUUUUUGAAAGUUUAAAGUUCAACACCCAAAACCAUUUGUCUUCACACAUAAGUUUCAAAUUCGCUCCAAAGGGGGUAAAUACCUCAUUUCUAAAACAAGUUUUUUGUCCAUCAUGCCUAAAACAGCCAAUUCAAUUUGAAUUGUUAGUAUAUGACAAAGUAAGAAUAUGUGCACUGGUUUUCCAAUAUUUUUAUGCUCAUUUCAAAAUUGGUCAAACCAAAGUUUGACAAACAUUUUAAACAGACCACUCUGUUCGCCGUUUUCGUUUUCUUUACACAUGUAAAUUGCUCUUCAUUUACACCUGGAACAAAAAUACAUGUGUAUUUAUUUACAUCGAAAACGUGUAUGUAUUUAAACUGAAAACUGAAAACAGGGCAACCCCGUUGGAAACAGAGCAGGGCGCUCUGGCUGACCGAUCAAUCUGACCGAGGGUCAAACUGACCCGUGGGCCAGGGAAGUCAGCGGGCGUCACAUCAGCGUCCCAUCGAAGCUAUUUAUACGGUGAGAGGUGUCGUACCCUAGCUAUUUCCAGAUCUACGCCGCUCUAGCUCCUCUCGCCCCUCACCGUCGGCGAACCCCACCAAAACCACGCAUUCCAGCCUCGCCGCCGCACGGAUCAUGGGGAGGCCAGGAUCUUUCAGCUCGCGCGGCGGCCAUUCUGGCGGCGGAAACUGGAGGCCAAAGCGGCCGGCGCCUGAAACCCCGGAGUCUGAGCGCGAUCGGGCGGCGCGGGUUGCUUCUGACGCUGCUCGGAAGCGCGGCGCCCGAAGGUACACCAACUGGGGGCUCGCGCCACCGUGUGCCUUCGCCCGACGCGAGGUGGAGGAGUACGACCGCCCCCGCCAGAUAGGGAAGCGGCGCGCUCCUCUGCUGCGGGCUCCUCUGCCACGGGCUCCUCUGCCGCCCCUGCCGCGGGCUCCUCCGCCAUUGCACCCGAGCUGCUGCCGACGGGCUCUCUGCCGUAGGACUACGUCAACGACGGCGAGUUCGAGGACGUCAUGGCCGAGGUGAUGGAGCGCACCAAGGAAGAGGCCCAGCAGGUCGCCGCGCGCCGGCAGAGGGAAGAGGAGCUCGACGAGAUCCGCCUCCGCCAAGCAAUCGAGGCAUCCCGCGCCGACAGGGGGUGGGGCGCCUCCGAGUCCGACUCCGACUGACCGGCGCCGCCGCAACGUCGGGGCCGCACCGCUGGGGCUCUGGUGAGCGCCCACUUUUGGAGAUGGUGAGGUAGGAGUUUAGGUGGCCGAGGUUAGGAGCUAGCCCGUGUAAUCGGGGAGGGUGUAAUCGUCUCCGACGAGCCCUUGUAAUCGAACCUAUGAUAUUUUCUGUAAUGGAUAUAUGUUUGUUCGAAUUCAGUCUCUUUUCUUUUAAAUGCUUGUAAAUUUGCCCGCUUUUCUAAAUCGGAGCUCGUCGGCGUUGCCGUGCUUCGUCGCCGGAGAAGAAGAAGAGGGAGGAUGCGCGCGCGGGAUAACUGUUUGACUGUAGUAGCCGUCAUCUGGGUCCCAUGCCAACGUGGAUAAGCUGGGGGUCCCGCCCGGCUCCACCUAAUCCUGAUACAUAUUGUGUUUAAGGGUCAUGUCGUGUCUGGGCUAUUUGUGCGCACAAAGGUGUCGCAGCAGAGCCAUUCUUACCAACGAUGUCGCAAUCCUUUCAAUUCACCUCAAAAAACGUCACACAAAAACUAUUCGCCCGAGCAUGACAACACGCAUUAAGACAAGAACUUUGCGACGAGCGAGUAGAUGACGAGCGUAACAACAUUACUUAAUUAUAAUGCCAGCUCGUUUCACACACCCCCACCCCCUUCCUAAAAAAAACUAGAGACGAUGGGUGUCGUGCUGGCAAUCAAGCAGCUUACUCGGUCCAGGAAAUCAGAAGGAAGAAACAAUGGAGCAUGGCAACGCAAGCGAGCGAGACUUGCGUUCCAUACCGCGGCUUGUCCUGCUCAUGGUUGACCUGGAAAUCCUAGUCUUACGACCUGGUACUUUGUUUGGCCCAUAAUGUACAAAAUCCAAUUGCCAACAUGGAAUGGAAAAGAUAAUUGCAAACGAUCCGCUCAACAAUGACAGGUAACCCACUAUCCUCUAAACGGAAGUCCUGUCAUGAGGUCCAGACGUAGUCCUACAUUUCGAACCAAUUUCCUCUACUUAAUUUAAGAAGAUAAGAGUACCCGCGUCAAAAUAAGAGUAGAAAAUGACAAUGUCAACUCUGUCUUGACCAAUAAGCUGCGAGCUCCGUGCUGCGAGCUAGCUCUGGACCAUGGAUAAAUACACCAUUGCAGCAGCAGCUGGCCCCGACAUCUAGUCGGGAGCGAGAGAAAGAAAUCACACGCUCUAGAAGCUGUGUUUCUGCUACCCCGCGGGUGUGAUUGGAAGAUGGGGACGCUUCUUGCUCCUCUGCGCGUUCCUCCUUGUCCUGCUCAGCGUGGCGAGCCUCAUGGAGGUCACGGAAGGGAGGGGCCGAGGCGGAUCACGCGGCGGAGGAAGCAGCAGCCCGCGUGGCCUCAGCGGUGGCACCUGGA
RNAcentral lists this long non-coding RNA (46736 nucleotides) under Hordeum vulgare. Its description in RNAcentral is "long non-coding RNA (HVUL_LNC007778)". The record is from RNAcentral. Lineage: Eukaryota; Viridiplantae; Streptophyta; Magnoliopsida; Poales; Poaceae.